AAAAAAACAUAACUAAACUCAGAAAUCACAAUAAAAGGAUCACAAAUAGCUAGCAUAAAUUCAUUCCAUAAUAAUAUUGUAAGUUGUAACCACACUCAUGAAGCAUCACCUUUUAUUUGUUCUAAUAAUAUACAAAAGGGCCACACGGUGAUACAUGACAAGUAAAGGCAUAAAGGUAUAUUGGGGGAAUUAUAAUUACUAAACUUUUCAGUAGCUCAAAUCCUAUGAUUUGAUUUUGCCCUAGUGCUUCAAAAUCACCCACAGAAAUUUAAGGAUCACAUGCAUAUACUCAUAAGCUCCAAGCUCCUGGCGCAUAUACCAAAUUAAUCAGGGGUGGGGGCCAUGGUGGGGAGGGUGCCCAUGUGGCCCAGGAGGAGGUGCAUGGGCAUGAGGACCAGGCGGUGGUGCAUGAGCAUGAGGACCAGGCGGUGGUGCUGCUGGACCAGGAGGUGAAGGAGAUGGAUGAGCAUGUGGUGGCGGAGAAGGUCCGGGAUGCGGUGGACCCGGGUGGUGGUGAGGGCCUGGGCCUCCUGGUCCUGGUGGUGGUGGAUUAGGCAUAUGUUCCUCAACUGAUGAAUUUGUGGAGGAGAUGAAUUAGUGACAAUGGGUUUAAACAAUUGAAACCACUGCUUUGAUUAAUAUAGGGGAUCAUAGAAAGAAAGAGCCCUUAUCUUAUCUUCAGCAAUCCAUCAGUCAAUGCCCAAUUUUACUUUCUGUUAGGCAACUAACAUUCUUCAAUUUGUGUAGGUGAGAGUGGAAAAUCCUGUAAUUUUAUUAAAAUGGCGAAUGAAAGUUCUACCCUGCUUACUAUUUACUGCGUGUGAUGAUGCAAAUUUAUAAAGCCAUCUAGAAGCUAGUGCUUAAUUUUCAAUGUGUGCAUAAUAUAUUUUUGGUCUAAGGAAAAAAAUUAUACAUUGAGAAAUAUGACAUGACAUGACUUUUUAGUGUACUGAAAAGAUAAAUUUACAUCUAGAUUUAGUCGAUCACCUUCUGACAUAUUAUUUUAUAAUAGUUUUUAAUUAUCAUUAACAUUUAUAGCAGUUAAAAACUAUCACUAAAAUGUAUGGUUGUAAUGUGUUGAGAAAAAAUCAUAUGUCGAUGUAUCACCGCUCUUUAUUAUAUAUAACCCCAAUUACCUUUGGCCCAAAUAUGUUUGGUUUUGACGAAAACGAAAUGAAUGAAUGGAGAAGAAUAGAAAAUAAUACUGAUAUUAAUGUAUUUAGAAACACAAAAGCAUUCAUCCAUGAAUCUUAACCCAAUCCACUGAAUGGCUCUCCUAGGGUUAGGGAGGCGGCCGCCAAACAAGGUUUUGUUUAUCCAAGGUUGAUCACCACGUUUUACUUCUCUCUUUUGACUAAACGCUGACCCUGUCUGGUGAACCAUAUUCUUUUCUGCGUCUAUUGCAUGCAACAGAGGUUUUUUCUGCUAUCAAGACUGUACGAAGGCCGAUCAUGGCGUUUAAUGGUGAUGUUCCGAUUCUGAACUGGGAAGAGGAGGAGAAUGUCGUUCUUGACCUAGGUGAGGCUGAGGUUGACCCGCAGCUCGGUGCGAAUGUCUGGCUCGUUGGGAAGGUGUUGUCCCCGAACAAGGUUACGACACCUAUUUUUAGAAGCGUCAUGCUUAGGCUCUGGGAGACAAGGAACGUGAAGGAGAUACGACAUGUUGGCCCUAAUCUUUUUGCUUUUGAGUUUGGCAAAACAAAAGACAGAGAUUUGUUUCUGCGAUCUGGUCCGUGGCUCUUUGAUCGUCACCUGGUGGUGCUGGAUGUUUUUGACAUCACCAAGGAUCCCAUGCAAGUGCCCUUGACCAAAGUUCCUCUCUGGGUACAGGUUCAUGGGCUCCCGUACACGAUGAGAUCAGAACGGAUAGCGAAGAGUUUGGGGGAAUCUUUCGCCGGCUACCUGGGUUGGGACAAAUAUGAGGCACACAGGUAUGGGUACUGCUUGCGGAUUAGAGCUUGGGUGGAUGUGACUACGCCGCUGCGGCGAGGUCAACUCGUAGCAACUAGAGGAGAAGCCCCCCUAAGGGUAACGUUUAAAUAUGAAAAGAUAGUCAAUAUUUGUUACCGUUGUGGGAAACUAGACCACGUUCUCCGAAACUGUGCGGUGGAGGGGAAUGGUGGUGCUCUCCGUUUUGGUGCUUGGAUGAGAGCUGAGGAUGAUCACCCUGUUGGAGGUUACCGUGGGGGAGAAAAUAAAGGAUACAUACAGCCCAAUGAGGAUGGAAAGGAACCCUAUGAGGAAGAUGGAGAUUAUGUUGAGGAGGAGGAACUGGAACCUGAAUCAGAUUUGGUGCAAAAUUGUGACGGAGGGAACAAAAAUUUGAACGAACACGAGGAGGGAGAAAACUGUGAGCUUGCUGCCACUUAUAGUAAGGAGGACACAGUUUACUUGCAAAAAAACACAUGUAGGUGGUGAAGGUAAACAAAAGGAGACCAAGCAGCACUUAGAUGGAAAAGUUUUUAAUUUUGGGGCCCAAAAAUCACGUGGCUUCCAGACCAAAAUGGGGCCAGUGGCAAGGGAUAUGAGAAGAGGCAGAAACAUGGGAAUUAAUAGAAGGGAAAGUGGUGAUGGAUUUGAAAAUCAUGGCUUACCAAGAAAGCGGGCAGGUGGACCAUCUUCUACAUUUGCUCAGCAGCGCACGGGGUUCUCUCCCCCACUGAAGAAGAUAAAUAAUUCUGAUGGAUUGGGGAUGGCGGGCACUGCUGAGCAGUCCCGCCCACCUCAAUGAGGAUUUUAGCUUGGAACUGUCGGGGGUUGGGGAGCAUCCUGGCAGUUCGAGCCCUUGGUAGGCUCAUUCAGUCUGAAGCUCCCGGCAUAGUGUUCGCGAUGGAGACAAAAUGGUACGAGUAUGAGGCACAACGUCAUAGAGGCUUGGGAGGCCUUCCAAAUGUCUUUCCGGUUCAAUGUGCAGGCCAAGGACAUUCGCGAGCAGGAGGUUUAUGUUUGUUUUGGGGUCCAGCAGUGGACGUUACCAUUAUUUCAAGUUCUUUGAAUCAUAUUUAUUUUACUGCUACUCAUGUGGAGGAGCAGAAGGUCAUGCAGAUUUUGGGGAUUUAUGGCUUCCCCGAUGAGAGGAGGAGAGUUGAUACUUGGGGUCUGGUUAAGAGACUGUUGGUUGACACUGCUAUCCCUGCGCUCUGUGUAGGGGAAUUCAAUGAUUGUCUUUCUCCGCAGGAUAAGUUGGGAGGAGACCCCCUUGAUCUUCAGCAUAUACAGAGGAUGGCUAAAGUCAGAACCGAAUGCAAUUUGCAGGAGGUGGAUUUUACAGGAUACAGGUAUACAUGGUCUAAUAAUAGGGCACCAGAUACAAUCGAGGAGAGGCUAGAUUAUGCGCUUACAAAUGACGCCUGGGAUGAAUUGUGGCCUUCAACGGUGGUUCACCAUUUACCCAGGUAUAAAUCUGAUCAUAAUCCUAUUUUACUAACUUGUGGUGUUCGCAGGAAUAGAGAAGAGAUAGGCCGAGCAAAAAUUUUCCGAUUUGAGGAGAUGUGGCUCCAAGAAGGACAAGAGUGUGCUGAGAUAGUGACAGAGACUUGGUGUAGACUGCGAAAUGACCUCCCCACCAAAAUAGCUGAGGUGGGAGGGGCCCUAAAGUGUUGGGGAAAAGACAAGUUUGGUGAUAUUCCCAGGAAGAUUUCUGAUCAGAAAGCCCUAUUGCAAGACUUGCAAAGAAAGGAUCAAACAACGGAGGUGCUGAGUGCCGCGUCAGUGGUUGAAAAAGAGCUUGAUAGUUUGCUGGAACAAGAGGAAAAGUGGUGGCGCCAACGUUCUAGAGCCACCUAGUUAAAGUGCGGAGAUAAGAAUACCAGUUUUUUCCAUAAAAAAGCAACUCAGCGGCGAAAGAGGAAUAUGAUAGAGAAAAUAGAGGAUGAUGGAGGAUGUGAAUAUGUCCAUGAUCGUGACAUUGCAAGAGUUUUAAAAAAUUAUUUUAUGAACUUGUUCUCUACUUCUAACCCUGACAGGAUUGAGGAGACCACAUCUUUGGUAGCAAACAGGCUGUCAGACUCUCAUUUGUAGGUUCUUGCUGAUCCUUUUACAAAGGAAGAUGUAGAAGAGGCCUUGUUCCAAAUGCAUCCGACCAAAGCUCCGGGAGCGGAUGGCUUCCCGGCGCUUUUCUACCAGCGGUUUUGGGAUGUCAUUGGGGACGAUGUAGCAGAGUUCUAUUUGCAGAUUUUGCAUGGGCUUGUGUCGCCAGGUAUUAUCAAUCAUACGAUGAUUGUUCUCAUUCCUAAGGUUAAGAAAGCUGUUAAUGCGACCCAGUUUAGGCCUAUUAGUUUGUGUAUUGUUCUGUUUAAUAUUGUGACUAAGGUGAUAGCAAAUAGGCUGAAAAAUAUUUUACCUGAUUUAAUUUGCGAAUCCCAAAGUGCAUUUGUACCAGGACGUAUGAUCACAGAUAAUGCUCUCAUUUCUUAUGAGUGUUUUCACUUUAUGAAGAAAAGAACUAAUGGCCGGAAUGGCACGAUGGCGCUGAAAUUGGAUAUGUCCAAAGCGUACGACCGGAUCGAAUGGUCUUUUUUGAGUUUUUUAAUGACAUCUAUGGGUUUUCCACAUAAUUGGGUGAAUUUAAUUAUGAGUUGUGUAUCAACGAUAUCUUUUUCCAUUAUGUUGAACGGUAACCCGUAGGAAAAUUUUGUCCCUAAUAGAGGUUUAAGACAAGGGGAUCCGCUUUCUCCUUAUCUUUUUAUCUUGUGUGGGGAGAUGUUUUCUGCUUUGAUUAAUAGAUCCAUUGCUUCAAAAGCACUUUCUGGAAUUAAAAUAGCGAGGAAUGCUCCUGUUAUUUCACAUUUGCUUUUUGCAGAUGAUAGUAUCCUCUUUGGUAGAGCACCAGUACAGGAGGCGGAAUGCCUAAAAGAGAUUUUAGUGACUUAUGAACGUGCUUCCGGGCAAGUAGUCAACCUUGACAAGUCAAUGCUCUCAGUGAGCCGAAACGUGCAGCAAACCAGUUUUGAUGAGCUUAAGCAUCUAUUGGGAGUAAAGGUCGUAGAGAGCUAUGACAAGUACUUGGGGCUACCAACAAUUAUUGGUAAGUCAAAACGACAAAUUUUCAAUUUUGUUAAGGCAAGAGUGUGGAAAAAGUUAAAAGGUUGGAAGGAAAAUUUUCUUUCACGAGCCGGGAGGGAAGUUUUAAUUAAAUCAGUGGCGCAAGCCAUUCCCUCUUAUGUUAUGUCCUGUUUUCUUUUACCUGACGGCCUGUGUGCAGAUAUUAAUAGCAUGAUCUCCAACUUCUUUUGGGGAGGAGAUGUAUCUCAGAAGGGGAUGCAUUGGACAAAGUGGAACAAGUUGUGCAAAAACAAAUUGGAGGGUGGUCUUGGAUUCCGGGACUUCAAGGCUUUUAAUAUAGCUCUGGUGGCGAAAAAUUGGUGGAGAAUCUAUUCCAAUCCAGAAGCAUUAGUUGCUCAAGUUUUUAAAGGUGUUUAUUUCCAGAGUGGUGAUAUGUGGGGAGCAAAAAAAGGCUAUCGACCGAGCUAUGCAUGGUCAAGCAUUCAUAAAUCGGCUUGGGUUUUUCAGAGAGGUGGUUUAUGGCGUAUUGGUAAUGGUAAGAGAAUUAAUCUGUGGACAGACAAUUGGUUGCCCGGAGGGGCACCCACUCUUUUCCGGCAGGAUGUAGUCGAGGAGCUUAAUAUACAGGUGGUCAGUAAUUUACUUGAGCCAGACACUUCCAGAUGGCACUCAGAAUUAGUGGAGCAUAUCUUUCACCCAGGGACAGCUAGGCGCAUCAUGGGAGUGCCCCUUGCUACUCAAGCACGGGAUGAUUUUCUUUGCUGGCCUUUCACCAUGGAUGGGAGGUACUCUGUUAAGACUGGUUACCAUUUUGUUUGUACUGCUUGGGAGGGUGAUGUUGUAAGACCCAAGUUUUUAAGUUUAGAAUAAGUGAAUAAAAUCCUAUUCACGAUUAGGGUUGAUGUAUCGUUAAGGGAAAACCUGGACAAAAGUUUACUAAAUGAAAUAAAUUUAUGAAGGAGAAAGUUCAGGAAAAGUCUAAGGAGUGUAUCGAAGUCGAUAAAAGUUAUAGCACGACUAAUAUACGCUUAAACCUAGGGCAAAAACGCUAGUAAAUAGCUAAUUUACACUUUAAGACACGAUGGAAACUAAUUCCAAAAAUCUUCAGAGAAAUGUUAGAACUUCUCUUAUUCGUCUAUAGACAAGCAUUUCGAUACGAAACCCUGGAAUGUACGAACGUCAAAUUCCAAUACUCGGAAGUUUGCCGAAACCAAAACCCUGAUAGUUCAAGAAACCUAAAAUCAACGGACGAUGAAGACUUUUUCUAUUCGGAGCUUCAAAUGAAGAUUCCACACGCGUACACCCAUUUCUCUUGAUGUUUUCAAUCUUUCUUCAGAAGGAAGUUUUCUCUUCCGACAUCCACUGCAAAAAGUAACUUAUCGGGUAAAAUAGAUUUACACCGACUUUGCAUUAUGCACCUAAAAUCCAAGGAACCUCUUUUGAGUUUUGGAAUUCUGUCGCCAAAACCUAUCUUAGAAUUCACGGAGAAUGAAGCCGGAAAAAUCGGAAUCGCGAAACUUUCAUUUUCCCGCGUUUUUCCAUCCUCUAUAUAUAGCAAGAAAAUGAGAAAAAUGGCAAAACUUCACCAUUUUCUCUCCCAAAACCCGCGAGCUUCACCAAGAGGAGGAGGAGAAGAGAUUUUCGCCAUUUCUUGCUUGAUCGUUGAUUCAACAGUUGCUACUUGAAGGUAUCGAGGUAUAGUCGCUAAUCCUUACCUCUGAUCGUCGUUUCCGUAGCUUUUCACUAUGUCUUUCUGUGCUCUUAGUUUUGAGGUUUUUGCAAAACUAUCCAGAUAACUUCAUUUUUCUAUCUAAACAUCUUCCCUACGUGCCCAAGAGCAUGUUUAGCGAAUAAUAUUACGCCGAUUCUCGAAAAACUAUCGUCGAGUUUCAAUUCUGCUUCAAAUACCCAUUUUGGGACAAAGUUUCGUCCUUUGGGCUGAAAACUAUCGCCUUAGCUUAGUGCUAGUAGGAUUAGUCGUCAUAAACGUCGUUGGUGACGUCCCCAUCCAAUUUGCUUUUCGAAAUUUCAGUUUUGAAAUUCUGAGCUAAAAAUAUUGACCAAAAUACCCCUGCGACAGUUUUCGAUCCGAUUCCGAGUUUAGAUUAACCUUAGUUACGACUAAUAAUAACCUAGGAACCAAGUUUGAUCGAAGAAAAAUCGACACACACAAUUACCAUGUGUGGCCGUGAGCACCCUAGGAGGAGGAAGAAAAUUCUUUUUUCGAAAACUUGUUCUUUCGCGCUAGAUUAUCGUACCUCGGAGUAUAUGCUACUUCGAGUAACCCUAGUAUUUAUUGUUUGCUGAGUUUCUGACUCAUUGUGAUUGAUUUCUGUGGUUUUGCUCUAAAGGUUCUUUUGAGGAAUUUCCUGAAGAGCAAGGAGUUGAUUGUGUAGGAACGUUCGAAGAGAACCCUGGAGAAUCUACAGGUGAGGGCUUCUCACUGAAGUAUUAGUUAAUGCUUUAGGUGUCGACGUAUUCGACUUGAUUUACUGUUUAUGCACUUGUUUGUGUUUGAUUGGGAAAAGUUUUCUGAGGCUUCGACUGACAAUGUAGAUGAUUCAUCUACUGACUGUUUUUGAGAUUGAAUUACAUGGUACGUGCUAAAUGGUUAAUCUAGGAUGUGUGAUAUUUGCUUUAUAUGCUAAGUGCUACGUGGUUAUUCUAGGAGAUGUUGAUAUAUGUGACAUGCUUGUUGACUGUGCUGAUUUAUCUAUGUCAUUUCACAUAUGUCUGUGGUACUGAGGAGUGAGAAUAACGGGCAGGUCAUGCCGAUUUUAUUUUGAGAUUUUGGAGAAAGUUUGAUAGGACGAACGAAGAUUCGGGCCUUGUUAUGGUCUUCGUGGAUCGAGACACUCUCGGGGAGUUAAUUGGGAUUAUGGGACUUUGGAAACUCAUAAGAUUUGCGAUAAGACUAAUGGAAACUAUUUUAUAAGGAAAAUUCAUAAGACAUUAAACAACCUCUAAAUCUUCAAAUAAUGACAACAAACUCGAAAGAAAGCUUAGGAUUCAAAUCUUAGUUUUGGAAAAGAGGGAGUGUCGUCGGAUCCAAGUGUUGAGAAAAUUAAUAAGUUCUGAGUACGUUGAUACUCUUGUGCUCGAGUAGCAGUUGUGUUGUUGGGCUAUCUGAGAGAUAAGCCGAGGAAACAGGUAGUUUCCGAGUAUGUUGAUACUCUUUGCUCGUUGAGCCGUUUUGACCAUCGGAUGGAGAUGAGUCGGAUGAUUUGGAGAUCAUCAUGAGAGAAUGUGUCGUUGUAAAGGAUUGUCUUUUGUCGCAGAAUCGACUUUACCUUAGGGUAUGUUUUUAGAGACAAUAAGUUAGCCAGAACACGUGGCGACGUGUCGAGUGAGGUCGGAGACGUUGUUUGGCUAAUCAUUUUGCAUUCAUGCACCAUUAAUGAGGUAUUAACACGAGACGAACUUCGGACCUCGGUGGAUUCCAAAAUGGUCAUAAGACCCGGAUUUCCGCGUAAGAGCGCUAUUAGGCGACUCUUAGUAGCAGACCGAAAUGGCAGGCCUUCGGGUUUUAUGCUGAUCUGACUACCGUUGUUGUUGGAGUAAGAGGCACGCGGGCCGAAAUGGUCCCACCGUGGCUGGUGCUAGGGCUGAUCCGUUGAUGUCCAUCCCUUCCGGAAUGCAUUUGGUUAACUGGGUUAACCGGCAUUUGCAUUUCACGCAACAUGCAUACUGACUUAGUUGCUGAGUGUGUUUGAUACUUGUUAAUCCUAUUUGAUGCAUGCUAUUUGUUAUUACUGUCGUUUAUAUUCAUUGUGGAAUAUGCAACCUUAGGAUGCUAUCUUUAACUUAUAAGCCUAAGCGGCUGUCUCUUAUCUGUACCUAUUGGGAUUAUUAAUUACAUAAUUCUUUGGAGUUGACCCUCGCGUCUUCUGUGUGUGCUUUGGCGGACUACGCCCUUUGUCAGAUGUCUUUAGCGGAUUGGUUCACGAUGGUCCACCCUUCGGGGGGGACUAGAUAUGAGAUGAUAGAUCAGGACGACCCCGCUAGCCAUCGAGCGACGUACUCGGGGAGGAUCAUGGAGGAUCGCGUAGACAGCGGAGGACACUUGAUGGAAGGAGUGCUGAGGAAGUGCACUGUCAGUUUCAACUUGCCGCCCGGCAUGCACUGCGAACCAGGAGUAGGAGCACCACCACCACCGUCAUCUUCUGAUGAUGAGGACCCCUCAGAGGAGGAGCCUGUGGGAGUGACUUCUUCAGAGUCCAGCUCACCCACGGUUGCUAUUAUUGACGAUCAUGGUUCGGGCCCUAAGCCCGUGAGGCCAGCACCGGAGCGCAUCGCGGUUGCGAGAGGAGGACGGAUAGUGUUCGUAGACUUGGUCGUUCUGGAUUCAGAUUCGGACGACGAUCAUGCUAGCACAUAGUUUUGAGUGCUGGUGUGAGCUCCUCGAGAUAGGAUUAGUGUAGGAGUAGAGUCUUAGCUCUGACCGUCACUGUUUUCUUUGGGGACAGGGUAGUUUCCCGCCUAUAGCUUUUUGUGUGGUUCCUCUACUGGAAUCAUAGAGAGUUGGUUGGGCUAGGAGGUCUUGUUUUAGGCCGAUUGGGCUAACUUAUUCUCAUUUUUGAAGGUUUGUGUUGCGGACACUUAGCCUUUCCUGUCGGUUUGUACAUAUUGCCUACGGGCGUUACUUUUCUUACUUCCCGUCACUGGAGGUUUACUCGUGACGUGGUUUGCUACUUACAGCGGGGGUUGUAAUUAUUAUUGUAUAUUAGUUUUGUUACCUUUUGUUGUCUAGCUUUAUUUCUUUCAGUUUUAAUUCUAUUAUCGAAAAAAAAAAAUAUAUGCACGUUUUUCCGCUUUAAGUUUCUUUUUUGUUACUAAAGUGACGCCACCGAAAUCGGUGUGUUACAGAUGUGGCCUCUUCUUCAUCACAAACCUCUCUCUCAAAGCAACAAUGGCAGAAGUUUUGGGGCUCAAGUGCGUUGCCCAGGUGCAAAGAGAUGGCUUGGAGGCUUAUUCGUGGAUUCGUACCAGUGAAUUCAGAACUGAAGCGGAGACAUAUGGAAGUAGAUGAGCAGUGCGUGUGGUGCUGUCAAGAAAAUGAGACUUUGGAGCAUGUUUUCCUCUCUUGUACAGCUGCCAAAAUGUUAUGGUUUUGCUCUCCUUUAGCUUUGAGGACAAAACAGUUCACGGUUUGAUAGACUUAUGGGUGGCGGUGCUUCAUGAUGGGGAUGCAGAUUUUAUUGGGAUGGUCCAGACCUUAUGUUACGCUCUUUGGGAAGCUAGGAACAGGUGCGGGUUUGAUCACAAGUGUUUCUCUCCGUUGGAAGCGGUGCAGCGCUCGCAAAGGCUGCUGUCUCCCCCGUGAGUGGACACGCCAGCCCCACCCUCUCGCACGGUUCAGUACACAACGUGGAGAAGGCCAGGUCGAGGGGUGUUUAUGAUCAAUUUUGAUGCCACUUUUGUUGAGGGACAACCGUCGCUAUGGUAUGGUGGCGCGAAACUUUGAAAGGGAAAUUUUGGCCUCGGCGACGGCGUAUCCCGUGGCAUCUCUUUCCCCUCUCUUGGCGGAAGCGGGUUGUUUCCGAUGGGCUCUUCGGUUGGCUAUUGAGUUGGGUUUCCGGAGGGUUGAAUUCCAGACUGAUUGCUUACAACUUUUCAAUUGGUGGAAAUCUCGUAGGGAGGGUGUUUCGUUCCUAGCUACGACUGUUCGUGAAUGUCGUUUUUUAAUUUCUGGUUUUGAUGUUUUUACUUUAUCUUUUGUAAGACGUUCUGGUAACGCAGCUGCUGACUGUUUGGCUAGGAACGCCUCUACUUACGCUGAUAUGGUGUGGGUGGACGAAGUUCCGGAUUGUGUUUUCCAUGUGGUGGCUCAGGAUGUUUUGGCUUCUAUGCCUCCUGAUGCCUAAUUUUUAUAAAAUCACUUUCAAAAAAAAAAAAAUUCGUGCAUGUUUGGAUCAGGUUUAUAGAUAAAUUUGAUUUUCAUAAAAUUGAUUAUUUAUAGUAGAAAUCAGUUAAAAAUUAAGUGACUUAUAUUUUCUUUUACAUUGGAAAAAUAAAUUGCACCCUCUAGAGAUCGAUCUUUAGACCUUUUCUCCAAACCAUAUGUCCCCAUGUUUUUACCACUUGAGUCAUCAUUCGAGGACAAAGAGGUUUAUAUUUGAAUACAUUUAUGAAAAAGUGAUUCAUGUUGAUGAGGUAAAUCAUAAUCUCGCAAUUGAUUAUUUCAAUGUAAAAGUUAUUCUCUAGCAUCUACAAGAAUUAUUUUGAAUUUAAAAUUAAUUCUCCAAAAUAUCUCAUAAGCAUCAAACUUUUAUUUAUAAUUAAUCCUACACUACCAAUAUUGAUUAUGAGUUUCCAAAUAGAAAAUCAAACACACUCCUUGUUUGAUUAGGAAGAACCAUAAGGAAAAUAAAAAACAUACUUUUCUUUCCUUUAAUUUUAAAUGAAUGUGUUAGAUGAGAAUUUGUACGUGAAAAAUUGUCCAGAAUGUAAUUCAUUUUAGUUUUCCUAGUUUUGGUUUAUGACGAUGGGUGUUUGGUUUGUCAUUGGCCUUCGGAAGUUCCGACAAAGAGGGUUGAGUCCUGAAAUAAAGCAUUGAAGAAAAAGUAAAGAUGAAAUAUGUGGAAAAAAUAAUCACAUUUAACGUCGUAUCUUAUGGAUGAAAAUCUUUUGUCCACACUUGAUAUCUUAUUCUUUUUUUUUUGAAAUAGUAUGUUAUUCUUGAUCUCACUGAAAGAAAAUGUUUCGUGUUUAUUUCAUUCAAUCAUAAGAUCGAAUAUACAAGAGUAACACAUUACAAACAAGGAAGGUCAACUAGACUACUAUGACCAAAAUUAUUAUGUUACUGACUACUAAUAUUAAAGGUACACAAAGAUCCUAAAAUUAUUUACAAAAUUAUUCUAUCAUUCACCAAUGGAAUUAUAUUUAGUAGAUCACAUGAGUAUGAUACUUAUAAAUCAUAAGGUGCUUGCUAUGGUACCUUAAGCCAGACUAAGGUGUGAUACCCAAAAUGAGUCGAUUUUAAUAAUAAAGACACAUGUACCGGUUAAAAUUUUGAUUGUGUUCUAUCGUAGUAAUGCAACGUUCCAUUCUUAGGGACGUGAGAUUUGAAAGUUGUGUUUUCUGAGCUUUGUGCAUCCACCAACCAUGGUCAUUUUACGCGCAUCUUCAUCACCAUUAUUCGUUUCCACCACUCGUACAUUUUUCAUCAAAAAAUGAAUUUCAUGAGAUAAAGUUAAUUGACAAGUAAAUUAAAAUCUAAGAGCAUCUCCAAUGGUAGGAACUUAUUUUGGGACUUAACUCAAUUUUUGUGGGCCCAAAUUGCCACAUAGGAUUUAAGACACCCAUAAGGUCUUCAUGCAUAUUUCACUCUAGUGGUUGGGAUAUUAUUUUACUUUUGACUAGACCCACAGUACCCAAUAUAUUUAUAUUAUUUAUUUCUCUCCCUAAUUUUCACUUUGGUUAUGGUAUUGAAGGAGAGAGAAAAAAAUAUUAUUUUAUUUAAGAUCCCACAUUUGAGAGUACCUGAGCUAAGGCACGGAUCUUAGCUUUUGCUAAGAUCUCAUGCCAUGUAGGAUAGCUCUAAUGGUGAGAUCUAAUAAGAUCCAGAUUUUAUUUUAAGGUCCCAAAAUAAGGACUCCAUUGGAGAUGCUCUAAUGAUGUAGUAUUUACCUUGAAUAACAUGAUAAUAAUUUAUAGAAUUAUUAAUGAGGUACCAUACCCAAAAAAAAUUUGAGGGUACCAUAGAAUUUACCAAAUUAUAAUCGUACAUGUGUGAAUAGGGCAGAGAAUUUCACCCAUAACAUUGGUGAAAAACAGUCCAUGGUGUAACGUACACAACAAUGUCUCUUUUCACGCAAAGGAAGUGGUGUUCUGAAGGCUAACAUUUUGUGUUUUGACUAGAUUGGCAAUUAGCCAAUAAUUAUGCUCAAUUUACCCACCACAUUCAAAACCUUAUGCAAAAGAAAACAAAAAUGACAAAAAAAAAAAAAAACACAUUUCAAGUGGAGCAUGAUAACAUCGCAUGUCUUACAAGUGAUAGGUUCAAGCCCACACUUAUUUCAUAUGAAAGGUUUUUCCUACCUUAAAUCAUGGCAACAUUCACUCACCCUAGAUUUUGUUAUUGACUUUGUAAGGAAAUUUAAUUUUAGUCAUUCUAAGAAAAACUUACGUUUAGUGACAGCCACUUUUAUAAUUAUUGACAAUUUUUUACCGUCACGAAGCGUUAUUUUUACUUAAAAAAAGACUAAAAUCAAAUCCUUAGAAAUUCAGAGAAUAAUUUAACCAUUAACCCUAAACCUAAAGUGUCUUGUUUUUUGGUAUAUUAAAUUGUUGUCAUAAUUUCGGUCGUGAAAGUCAAACGUUUUCGAAAAUGUAAUACCUAAAAAUUGAGCUUUCGACCUAGAUAUAAACAGUCAAUUUUUAACACUGCGAUCGGCACUCGAAAGUAUAGUGUGUUUGCUUUGCCUGAUGUGUAAGAAAGAAAGUUGAGAAAUAAUUGAAAUUGAAGAAAAGCUCCAAGUUGGUCAGCUUUCGAUUAUCAUCAUCGAAGAAUAAGCAACCAUCCACAUCUUGCUGCUGCUACUACCAAGCUAGCUAGCUCUUCUGUACCUCUCAUCUUCUUCUCUUAGACAUGGGUUCUUCUUCUAGUCGUCUCGGGUCUCGCUCUUCUCCUCCUCGGGUCAACAACAACCGCUUCAGACUAUCCUCUCUUCUCUGUGGAUCCUCCGCUUCCCGCUCUACAACUCCUCAGGUACCCGAUUUUCUUAAUACCCAUUUCGUUUUUACGCUUUUUCAUUUCGAAAGUUUGAUUUUUAUCAUCUGGGUUGGUCCAUUCGAUUUACUUUUGAAUUGGGUAGCUUUUGUUUUUGGGGAUGUAAGUAUAAAAUUGAUUUGCUAAAAGUCCAAUCAAUUGUGCUUGACUUAUAUAGAUAAAGCAAUUUUUGUGAUAGACUGAUAGUAUUUGGCUUUUUUGUUAGCUGAUUGAUUACAUCAUUUGAAAAAAAAAAUUGAUUGUGUGAGAAUAUUGUGAGCUUGGUUAUAUAAUUAUAGUUUGUAGGUUCUAUUGAUUAUCAUAGGAAUCUGAUAGUUUGCUAGUUGAUUAAUACGGUUUGACGCAUAUGAGCCUAACUAAUCUAUGAAAUUAUCUGCUGGUGCCUGUGGUAGUGUGGUAUAAUUCUUUAUCACAAAUUUGGAUUUAGCUUGUUUUAUUAUUUUAUUGUAUUCACUAGGUGAUUGAUUCAUGGAACGGUUCAAGUCUCUUCGGUCUUGAAAGAUUAAAAUUUCACUCGUUACUAGUUUUUUUAUUUUAACUUUUUUCUUCAUUGGCACUCCUUUACUUUCCAAUGAUUUGAUGAACUUCUUUAAGUUUUAGAGUCAUGUUGAUCCUAAUAAGUUUAUGCAUCUCAGCAUCUAUUCAAGGGUGAAUUUGGAAAAUCGUAUUUGUUCUUAACUUGUUGAGUAUUGUUUCAAGGAAAACUGAAUGCAUGAGUAUGUAUGACUUGAAAAUUUAUCCACAAGCCAUUUUAUCUGGUCUCACACAAGCGAUAAUUUGUGGAUGCUGGAUAGCCGUUAAAUAGAUACUGGGAGUGACUGAUACAGGAAAUUACAUUCUUACAUUGUGUUUUUAGAUGGAAGAACGUCCAUCUGAGCUUCAGGUUGGUUCGGCAAGAGAUUUUGAUGAUGAAAUUCAGAAAGCAGCCUCUGAGGAAUCGUCUUUAUCAUGUACAGAAGCUAGAACUAGCUAUUGUCCCCGUGCUGAAACUUCAACCUCAUCUGAUAUGGGAGUUGAGUUCUGUGGUGAUAAAACCGUUGAAGGUUCUUCCAGAAAUGUUGCAGCAAAUAGUCAGAGGAAGUGUUUGUCUGAACGUCAGGAGCUAGUUCCUCCUUAUCAGGUAAGCGCCGAUAAUAGUCGUCAUGAAUCAUAUAGUGAUAGUAGCAACACAGCUAGUACUUCAUCUGUUGAACAUCAGUCUUCAGAUCCAGUUUCUAUAAGUGUUUCUGCUAACAAGGAUGCAGUCAAUAAUGUUGAUGAUCCAGUGUUUAGUGGUAUCUGUCAAACCUCUCGUGACACGAUGUAUCCAAGGAGUUCAACCCCUCAAGAGCGUGGAAAUACCAGUUCUGAUGAAAUUUCUGUUGAGAAUCACACUGGUGCAUUCACAUCUAUCCAGAGUGCUCCUUCCAAUCCUGUUGCUCAAGUUUCCAAUAUAAUGGCAAUUUCUCAAGUGCCAGAAGAUGAACCUCUUCGCGAGGCAAUACCUUCAGGUUUAGGUUUUCUUGUGUCCAAUCGGGAAACAGGGCAGGGAGAUGAUAGCGUGAUUCAAGUUGACGUGGUCACAAUAUCUUCCAACAUUUUGUCAGCAAGCAAUGCAGAUGCCAAUGAUCAUGAUUCCAGAAGAAAUGGUAGAAGAUUAUUUUGGGAUGCUUUUUCACGACGUAGCUCUGGAAGGCUUGGUGAUUCUCCGACCAUUGUCUUCUCCAGUGGAGGUGCUGAUGAUACAGGAUCUCAAGAUCGAUGGCUCAUUGAUUUUAGCGGUGAUUUACCAAAUGAUAGGGUUGGGGAUGAUGCUGGAAAUCCUGGUCGUAGAACUCAUAGAUCGAGUGAACGAAUGCGGCACCCAAGAUCUGAGGUGAUUCUGAAUAUUUGGAGUAUAGAAUGCUUUAAAUUGUUUAUGUCACCUACUUGCAUUUAUUAAAUGGGCUUGUGAUCCCUUUCAUGUAACAUAAGCUGUUUACAUUUCUUUAUAUAGAUUUGGGAAAGGCUUCGUGGUGGCCUUGAUGAGAUUGGUCGGUUGAAUUCUUCAUGUCCAUUAGGACUCCAUGCUGAUGGUAUGUGCUCAUGCGAGUCUUUCCCAAUGGCUGAGGAAUCUAGCACUCGAGCAAGCAUUUCAAGAAUAGUCAUGCUGGCUGAGGCUCUGUUUGAGGUUUGAACCUUCUCUCCAGUGUCUUUUUUUUUUCUCCUAGAUUUAAUUAAAUUGAGUUUUCCAUCCAUCCUUAUCCCUUGUGUUUCCUGCUCUAUGAAUUUUAAUUUUAUCUCUAAAUUUCUGCGUUUGGUUUAAACAUGGUACUUGCUGAUUGGCAGUUCAAUCUGAUACCGUUGAUAGGGCAGUGUGCUUACUGCAUAAGAGCAUUUCAGGAUGCUCUCAUGCAUUUGAUUUUCUUCUUUUUGGCCUCUUUUCUACGAUAUCAUAACUUCCUGAUGAUUGAGAUUAUCUAAUUUUGAAUUUCAUAAUUAAAAGUUAGGUCUUUGACAAUCUAAUAUUGGACUGCUUCUAUUGUGCAGUUUCUCUGUAGUGAAAAACAGUUCUUUAUUCCUCUUGCAGUAGGUCUGCAGAUGUCUUGUAGCAUUUGGGUGUCAUCUGGUGUUUUAUUUUAUUUUAUUAGAAGUACAUCAUUUCAAUCUAGCUUUGCAUUGGCGACUUUUCAAAGGGGGGCGGGUUGCACCUCUCACUACUCGGUAAAUUAAGAAUGAAUAUAAUGAAAUGUCCAAUAUGAUCAAAUUAUUCAGAAUGUUAUUAUGUUCUGUAUUUUAAAGUAUGUUUGAGUUCUUGUCAUCAUGCCCACCACAGCUUGAUUGGGUAUAUCAUAAUACUCAGAGUCACAGGCUCACCCUUGUAAGGUGGUCUUCAUAUUCUGAACCAGAUCCCUCCUUUUCAAUUGUCUGCAGUACUUUUUUGUGUAAUAAUUUCAUUUCAUUCACUUAGAUGUAAAAUCUAGCUUGGUUUGUCUUUCAAAAAAAAAAUAGUACCUUAAAUGGAAGCCAGUUCCUGUAACUGAAGGCUCUUCAGGUCAUGAAUGGUGGUAGGCAUGUGUUAUUAUGCUCGGUACACAGAUGCUUUGAGCUUAAAGAACAGUGUUUUCCAUGAUGAAUCAUAAUUGAUUUGAACCUAUUAUUUUCUGGUUACCUGAGAUAUCCGUCUUUAGGUAUAAUUAUCUGGCCAAAAAUGGUUCUAUACUUUACUAUUGGAUUAUGAGAACUGAAAUGCCGAAAGCAAUUUACAUAGGGCAGCAUAUUUUUCCUCUGCAGGUUUUAGAUGAAAUCCAUCGGCAACCUGGAUCACUUUCCCUAUCCAUGGUCUCACUCCCCGCACCUGAAUCAAUUGUUGACUCCUUCCCUCUGAAGUCUCACAAAAAGGGCGAUGCAGCUAAUGGAGACAAUGAUGCUGAACAGUAAGCCUUUAGAUCCCUAUUAUCUUAAGCAAAUAUGUUUGGAUGAAUAAUAUAUGUGGUAGUAUGGCCAUAGUUAAGUGUGUGUUUGGAUACUAGUCGAGUGUAAUGUGAAUGAACUUUCAUGAGUUUCAUCUCAAUCCAAAAGAAAGUUCCAUUCACUUUUUGUUUCGAAGUGAGUACUAGCGUCCGUGUGCACAAGUGUCAACGUGUAAUCCAAGCAUAGCCUAACUAGUUUUUCACUUAUGUAGUCUGUCAGUGUGGUUAUGAUACUUUUUUUUUGUUGGUUUUGAAUGCUUGAAAAGUUCUUCCUUCUCCCACUAUUAUCAAAAUUUAAUAAAUGAAUUUUGUAGAUGUCACAUAUGCCUGGCUGAGUAUGAAGAAGGGGACCAAAUACGAGUUCUUCCUUGCAACCAUGAGUACCACAAGUUGUGUGUUGACAAGUGGCUUAAGGAAAUACAUGGGUAUUGUCACUGUAACCAAAAAUCGUUCAUUCUUUUCAUAUCUAUCAAUUUCCAUUACAUAAAUAACCAUUUUUUUCUGCUUCCCUCUUUUACAGUGUGUGCCCUCUUUGUCGUGGCAAUGUUUGUGGAGAGUUGUCUGCUACCUACUCAGUAGUGCAGUCUCAAUGAUAUUGUGUACAUAGAUGUAAAUAUUCAACUAUAGACUAAAGUACCAUCUGGGUCAUCUAAAGAUACACCUAACAUCAAUUUGAUCCUUCAAAUAUUUUUAUCAUCAAUACGGUUCGAAUUGAUGUCACAUCAAAUUGGAUGGAAGGAUUAUUUUGUCGUCGCUUUAAAUUUUCAAAGAACUAAUUGGAGAUCACAAUUAUUUGAAAGACUAAAUUGGUUUGAAGUGUAUUUUAGUCUAAAAUCAAUGUCACCCUUGGGCCUUGGCAAUCAUAUCUAUAAACCCUUAUAUUUAAACUGUGUUGGGAUGUUUUUUCAUCAACCAAAACAAGAGGGGAUUGACUACAAAGGAAACGGGGAAAAAAGAAAGAAAGAUAGAUUAGGAAUAUAGUUAAGAAAUGGUGCAAAAUCUUUGUUUCCUCCCCAUUUCACCCCAACAUAGAAAAUGCAUGUUUGUUUUUAAGUUUAAAUCCACAGUUUGGAGCUUUGAAAUUCUAAAUCCUGAAUUCUCAUGGCCCCCAACAUGAAAGGGACUUUAGCCUUUUGUUGGUGUUUAACUGAGAAACAAACAUGUAACAUGGUCUUGGGGGGGAAUUGAUUGGGAAUGGUUCCUCUCAAGUUCUAUUCGCCUCUUGUACAUUGUUAAUUUCCAAAUAAGAAAUUGUUUUUCUUCUCAUUAUUGCUUUUGUUCCCUUCAUUAUCUAUCAUCCAAGCACGGUUCAAGUACAGUAGUUAUAUCAUGAGCUUGUGCUCUAUGCAAGAAUCCAUUUUAUGAUGAAACUUGUUUGGAUCUAUAGUAUUUGUUCUUCAGACUCCCAUCUAGGAAACAUCAAACUAAAAUUUUUUUGAUUUGGCAAUGUUGCAAGGAAAAUAAAUUUCAACGAAAGGAAUAAAACAGACAAUCAAAUUAUGCAUUUAAAAUUGUAAGGUGAAAAAAAAUGGCUUAGCACUAGAAAUGCUUGAUAGUUGAUAGAACUGUGAAAAAGACUAAUACCAUCAAAGUAAGAUUGUCAAUGAAGAUCUAGACAGUACUUACAAGUCUCUUUGCUUGCCUUAACAAUAUAACAACAAAUACUUUACUGCAUAUGGAUUUCCUAGAGAAGCUGAUUCAGACUUCAGCUUAAUCUAGUUCCACUUGCUCUCUCCAUAACCAUGAGAAAAUGGAUUGAUGUUACUGCUGCGAGCUGAAUUAUCAUGAUGAACAAAAAGAUUUGGAUGAAUAUUUUCAUCAUCCUCAGAUGUUGUCCACCGCCUUGAGUUGCUGCCAUGUUUUUCUCUAGCAACAUUGCGCAUGUUCUCCAUCUCUCCUACAUGGUUUUUGAAUUCCUUCUUCACCACGUCCAGCACCACAUCACCGUAUCUGUCACACCAUGAUCUUCAACACACAAAAGAAACACAAGAAAGUACACAGUAAGUAACACUAAUCCUCUGAUCUCAGACUGUAUAAAGUGUCAAGUGAUCCAAAAUUGAAACAUGAAAAGUGGGGUUAUGUUGACUCACUUAGGAAAGUAAUUUUUCAAAUCAGCCUUGUCCACUGGAAUUCUAGUAGAAAUUGCUUCCAUCUGAUCAUUCCUGAUAUCACAACAAAUGCAGCCAAAAGUAAGUAACAUUUCUAAGCAAAGAACUAAGUGCGUGUUUGGAUACAUGGUGAGCUAAAAUCACUAUGGAUGGAAGUAAUUUCCCUUAGCUUUUGUGACUGUUCACCGUGAUCUUAGUUUUACAGCUAUUUUCCAUAGUGUAUCCAAACAUGCACUAACUAAUAUCAGUUUUCCAAAUGCAAGGAAAGUAAUUACGAGAAUUUAAGAUUUGGGUUUGUGCUGCUAAGUUCUGUCUGGAUUCUUGUCAGCUCCUUCUUUAUCUUGUCUCCCAAAACCUAUUCACAGUGAACAAGAAUUUUGUUUAACAUGUCCAAAAAUUAGCUCAAUUUCAAAAGGAAAUUAGAUUGAAAUAUAGAAAGAGAUGAUGGAUGAAGGAUCUAAAACCUUAUCUAUGAAGAAAUCAGAUGGAGAACCAUCAGAAUGUAACUUCUUCUUCAACAACUUGGUGUCUGGUCCCUCUCCAUGAACUCUUGCAAGAGACUGGGAGGAAGCUGAGUGUCCCCCACUAUCAGACCUCUCAUUCAGAGGCAAUGGAGCAGUCUCAUCAUCUGCCUCAUUUCUCUUCCAUCUCUUGAACCCAUCAAACCCCCAUUGCUUCUUCACUGGUUUCCCUGCUCUUUGCUCUGGCUCAGGACCACCACCACCACUUCCACCACCAACUCCCUCCCUCUGCUCCCUGUGAAAUAAAGUCCUAAAUGGCUUCCUCUUCAACUUCUCCGAGCCACCGGUUUCCUUCACAGCUUCCGGGGGCCCACUUUCCUCCAUGAGAAUUGUUGUACCUUCACUUUUAUUGCCAUUAGGCUCAGCAUUCCAAAAAGGGUUUUCACUGGAUUGCCUCAAUUGCAAAGAAGGUGAUUCAAAAGCACUCUUCUCCACCCCAUUUUUCCCAGGUUUGUGAGGAGAAACAAAGCCGAAAACCGAGGCUGCCCCUUUAAUCUGCUUCAAACCCGACCCCUGAUUCGAUUUUCCCUUACAAUUCAAAUUCUCCUUGUUCAUCUUCAAUCCCUUAUCAUCCUUCAAAUCAAUAACCGACCACUCUUCCUCCGAAAUCUCUCUAGGCCUCACUGCCCUCACACCAACGAUCACAUCCUUAGCCUCAAUCUGAGCACCUUGAACAGCCAAUCUCUGAAGCAAAGGUCUCUUAGAAGAAUGAUACUCUUCUUCAGAAACACACUUUGCAUACAGAAGCUCCUGCAGAAACAGAAGCUUGUCUCUGAGUAUAACAGGAUGCUCUUGUUCCGGAGGCGAAGCGAUGAGAGUCUCGAGCAAGUGGGUUCUGAAAGCUGAAACCUCAGUUUCAGCCACAAUGCCUUCUUCGUGAAGACCCAUCAAGUUCAAAAUCUGGUGGAAAGACUCCUGCUGCCAUUUGAGGUUGUCGGAUUGCAGCUUCGACAACCUUUGCUCUGCUGAGAGCAAUGAUCGUUUCUUGAAGCUGAAAGGGAGAAGGGUCUUGCAGAGUGAGGUGAUUGAGUCAUGGAGUGUUGAGUAGUAGGUUGGUGUGUAGUUUGAGUACACCAUUUUUUUCUGAAUCUUCGGAUUGUUGAAUUGGAUGUGUCUGUUAGAAUUUCUAGCUUAGAAAAGAACUCAACUCUUGGUGGUGUGUCUGUGUUGUUUGUUUUCCUGGUUUUGAAUUUUUGAGACGAUGCUCUCAAACGGUCACUUUGAUAUGGAAACUAGCCGUUGAAGACUGUGAAUGAAUAUUAUUUCAUUCAGGUAGCGCUUAUAACAACUAAAUUUUGAAAAAUAAAAGAGAAAAAUGAUGAUGCACCGACACCGUCAACCAAUCAGAUUUCAAUGAUGUGCCACGUCAAUUAAUGAAAUUAAAUAAAAAGAGAGAUUUUCUCACAUCCUUGAAAACUGAUUGGUUGACGGUGAAAAAAAUUUUACACUGCACUGUCAGUGUGUAAAGUUUAAGUGUUAUAAUCUAAGCCAUUGAUUUUGAUCUAAGGGUAGAAAAUCAAUCAUCUCACUCUCACAUAAGAAAUCUCUCUCUCACUAGAUACAUCCUCUAUAUAUAUAUAUAUAUAUAUAUAUAUUUAAAUUUCGCAUUUAAGUCAUAAUUUUACAUAUAAAAUGAAAGUUAAUAUGACUAAAUACUUUAUAUCAUAACUAAACUCUAAAUUAUUUGAUAUUAAUUUUCAUCUUAAACCAUUUCAAACCAAACAGUUAGCGUAGUAAUUCAGCAUAACGAAGGAGACGACAGUUCGAUUCUAAACUCUUAUGAAUGAAAAAAUAAAUGUGGAGAAAGAAUUAGUCUCACAACUAUGAACAAUUUAUUAUUGCACUAAAAAAGCUCCAUUCACAUGAAUUAAAUAAAAUAUAGAAAUAUUAAUAUGAUAAAUUAAAAUUAAUUACAUUUUUUUGUUUCUCAUUUUUUCUUAACAAUGGUUUCUCAUUUCUUAAAAUAUCUUCAACAUUUAAGUCAUGUUUGAUUGCAGUUUUUGAAAACACCAUUUAAAAAUUGUUUUUAGAGAUUAUUUUUUAAAGUGGUUUUUCAAAAAAAAAAAACUGUUUGAAUUAGAUAUUUUCCAACAUUAAAAAAAUUACAAUAUGAAAAAUAAAAACUGAAAUAGAAAACAUCUUUUAGUUGUUUUGGUAUUUUAGUUUUAAAAACUGAAAUUAAGAACUGUUUUCGAAAACAGUUUUAUAUUAUUCAUCUAAAAAAAGUUCGCAGAGGGGGCGUCCAAAAGGGAGUAAGAAUAAACCCAUAGCAUUGCCGAAUAAUUUUCUAGAGCCAAUUCCAAGUGAAGAUGGGGUGACAACGCGUUCGCAUAGAGCAUGGUUGAUCGGAAAGGAGUUGGGACUAAAACCACGCUGAUCAGAAGCUUUGAUGCUGAGAGGUUUAGAAGCUCAAAUCCGUGAAAAUCACCCUCACCUCAAUUGAUAUGUCGGGGCCUUGGCUCACAUGGAAUGUGCGUGGGCUAGGCGGAACUACGAAAAGAGAGGCUGUCAAAAAAGCACUUCAGCAAUUGAAACCAGAAUUGAUUCUAUUACAAGAAACAAAAUUGAAUGAGCAGAGGCAACGAACAGUUGAACAGUGGACGCAAAGUUUGCAGAUGAAUCAUGUCGAGGUUCAGUCAGCGGGAGCAGCAGGUGGCCUAAUGUGUCUGUGGAAGGAAAGCAGUUUUCAAGUUCAGUCAAUGGUGACAUACACUAAUUUUAUUUUUUUGUCUGUAAAAGUUCCAAAUUAUGAACACCCAGUUCUAGUGGGGAAUGUUUAUGGUCCCCAUUCUUUGCCGGAACGUAGAGUAUGUUUUGAGGCCUUGAAAGUGCAUGUGCUAAGUCAUACAGGUAUGAUGUUUCUUGGGGGCGAUUUUAACGCUGUUCUACUAGGAUCGGAGCGGUCUUCAGAAGGAGUUCUUGAUGUAGGCGAUGUGGUUUUUCAACAAUUUGCCACUGAUACUAACUUAUCAGACCUACCCCUGCUAAAUGGCAAGUACACGUGGUACUCAAGUCGCAACGAUGGCCUAUGGAGUCGAUUGGACAGAUGGCUCGUGUCUGACGAGGUGAUGUUAUCUUUUUCGAAUAUUUCACAAUCUGUUUUUGCAUGGAAUGUUUCUGAUCAUAGAGUUGUAGGUUUGGUGUUUGGUGAACCUGACUCUGGCCCUAAACCUUUCCACUAUUUUAAUCAUUGGGUGGAUGACGAUGGAUUUUAUGAGGUGGUCGAAAAUUGGUGGAGGUCCGCAAUUUACCAAGGUUGGUCGGGAUAUAUUUUGCAGCAAAAAUUAAAGGGUUUGAAGGGGAAAAUAAGAGAGUGGCGCAAGGGGAAAGGGGUGUGGGGGGUGGAAAAAAUUAUGUGCUUAGAGAAUAAAUUGCAGGAAGUGAUGGGGGCAAUGGAGGAGCAAGGGGGGGCGCAGUCUUUGUCUAAGGAGAGGAGGGAGAUUUUGGAAGCUCUAUGGAAAGCAUACCGCAAGGAGGAAAGAACUUGGCGUCAGAAAUCAAGGGUGCAGUGGUUGAAGGAGGGUGAUCGGAAUACAAAGUACUUUCAUCGCAUCUGUAAGGCAAGAAUAGUAAAAAAAAAAUAUUACCCAGUUAAGUUAUCAGGGAAGAGACUUAACUACCCCAGGGGAAAUCAAAGAGGCUAUGCAGGAUCAUUUUCAGAAUUUUUUCAGGAUGGCAGCUGUUACUAGGCCUUGUUUUCAUAAUCAGAACUUGAAAAAGGUGUCUGAAUCAGAAAAUCAAUUUUUAGAAGCUGAUUUUUCACUUGAUGAAAUAUGGGAGGCUAUUAAAAAUUGUGAUGGAAAUAGAGCUCCUGGACCUGAUGGAUUUAGCAUGGAUUUUUUUAAAAAACACUGGAAUCUAGUGAAGGAAGAUUUGAUGAACUUUUUUAAUGAUUUUCCCCAUACAGGGCAUCUUGUUAAGGGUUUGAACUCGACUUUCAUUGCGCUUAUUCCAAAAGGUGAUCUCCAGGAACAUAUUUCUGAUUACAGACCUAUCAAUUUGAUUGGCAGUGUGUACAAACUGUUAUCUAAGGUGUUAUCAGUACAUCUGAGUUCAAUCCUUCCUAGGCUGCUAAGUCAGAAUCAGUUUGCUUUCACAGCAGGACGUCAGAUUGCUGAUUGUUCUUUGAUUGCAAAUGAGAUUGUCCACUCUAUGAGUUCGAGGCCGCAAGGAGGUUUGUUAUUUAAAAUUGAUUUUGCAAAGGCUUAUGAUAGUGUUGAAUGGGGUUUUCUGUUGGAGCUCUUACAAGAGAUGGGGUUUGGGGAAAGAUGGAUUAGGUGGAUGUACUGCUGUAUUUCUUCAGCUACUUUGGCGGUUUUGGUAAAUGGUUCACCGUCUGAUUUCUUUUCAAUUGAAAAGGGCUUGAGGCAGGGUGAUCCUCUUUCUCCUCUUCUUUUUAACAUCGUUGCAAAUGGGAUGUCUUGCAUGUUAAACCAACUAUCAGUGAGGGAUAUCCCAUGUGGGGUGGAAAUAGCUCUAGGGCUUCGUCUCAAUCAUUUACAGUUUGCUGAUGAUUCAUUGCUUUUUACAGAUUGCGAUCAAAACCAGUAUGAGGAGAUGGCUUUGGUGGUAGAAACCUUUUUGUUUGUUUCAGGUUUAAAAAUAAAUUUCAGAAAAUCAGAAGUUUAUGGUGUGAAAGCGCCCCCCAACACUGGUACAAUCAGCAGCAAAUUGGUGGAAUUUCAAGGUUGGAUCAUUACCUUUUAUGUACCUUGGUUCACCUCUAGGAGGUAGUCCUAGGAGAUUGUCGUUUUGGAACCCAGUUCUGGAGAAAUUGGCGGCCAAGCUUUGCACUUGGAAUUCACGCUAUCUAUCACUAAGCGGCAGGUUAGUACUUGUUAAAUCUGUUUUGAAUGCCAUCCCCUUGUAUUACAUGGCACUUUAUAGAGCACCGAAGGGGAUUAUCUUGAGAAUAAAGAGGAUUCUGCGUCGUUUCCUGUGGGGAGGUGUUUCUGGCGAAAAUAAAAUUAUGUGGGUAGAAUGGGAGGAUUUGUGUAAGGGAUCUCGGUAUGGUGGUCUUCGGGUGGGGUUUUUAGAGUGGAAAAAUAAGGCAAUGUUAUUGAAAUGGAUAUGGCGUUUUGGGCGGGAAAAGAAUGCCUUUGUAAGAUCAAGUUUUGAUCUAGUAGUACAACUCUAUGUUUUGAUGAUUACAAGUUAACCUUUUGAUAUGAACAAUUGUGGUACUCUAACGUAUUUUUCUGAGUGUGCUAUUCACAGGCUCUGACCUCAACUCAAUCUCACACAAAUCAGAAGCACUGUGUAUAAAGAGCGACCCAAGCAACGCUUUCGCAUUCACCAUGUUCAGUAUGAACAGUGGAAAAGCUUCAGAAGUUCUGAAGUUAUACAAACUCUGAUGUGGACUCAGUCACUAGAAGUUCUGAAGAUCCAGAAAGUCUGAUAACCAAGAAACACUGAAGGCUCAGAUAUUCUGAUGGUGUAGAAGACUCUGAAGAUCCAGAAGCUGAUUAGUGAAAUUCUGAUGUCCAGAAGCAAGAUACUCUGAAGACCAUGUUCUUCCCUCUGAGUUCAGAAUCAGAAGAAACAAUGGUCAGAGGAUCUGGGCUUUCCCUCUGACUCUGAUCAACCGGCUUCACAAGUUCCAAUAUGAAGCAUUCCCCUGAUCAGAUGUCUCCUAGGUUUAAAGGUCAAGUCGCUAUCCAAGUACAAAAGCAACUGUACCUUCCUGACGACCUACCUAACAGUCUCAGACAUAGCAGAAGCUGGAUUUUCCAGAACUGCCCUCCAACGGUAGCAUUUUCCAUGCAACGCUCAACCCUAAUCCUUGGAGUAUAUAAAGAGGCUGAAGACUGAAAGAAGCGGCUAGAAGCAUUCACAUACGCGCAAGACAUAUUCAAAUUCUUCUAACCUUUCUUUCAUCUGAAAUUCAUUGAGUUUACUAUUAGCUUUUUAGAAGCAAAUCCCUUGUAAACAAUUCUUUGAUAAACAGUUUGUUUAGUUCCUUUAGGAGAUCAAGGUUGAUCGGAUCCUAGAGAAGACUAAGAGAGUGAAUCUUAGUGUGAGCUAAGUCAGUGUAAUUGUUAGUCACUUGUAGGUUUCAAGUGCAGUUGUAACUCUUACCUGAUUAGUGGAUUGCCUUCAUUCUAAGAAGGAAGAAAUCACCUUAACGGGUGGACUGGAGUAGCUUGAGUGAUUUAUCAAGUGAACCAGGAUAAAAUCCUUGUGUGCUUUUCUAUCUCUUAUCUUUAGCACUUAAGUUCUCGAAAGAUUUGUCAAAAUCUUUAAGGUGGAAGCUUUAUCUUGAAAACGUUAUUCAAACCCCCCCUUUCUACCGUUUUUCAUACCUUCAAUUGGUAUCAGAGCGCAAGUUCUGAUUACCACACCUAACAGUGUUCAGUGAUCCGGGCCGGUGUGAAAAACAAUGGCUGCCACCACCAGUGAAACUCAAAGAGAUGGUUACAAUGCAAAGCCUCCUAUGUUCGAAUAUUGGAAAGAUAGACUGGAAAGUUUCUUUCUGGGUUUCGAUGCAGAUCUCUGGGAUAUUAUUGUGGAUGGCUACGAGCGUCCAGUUGAUGCAGAUGGCAAGAAGAUCCCAAGGUCAGAGAUGACUGCAGAUCAAAAGAAGCUGUACUCACAACAUCACAAAGCAAGAGCAAUUCUUCUAAGUGCUAUUUCCUAUGAAGAGUACCAGAAGAUUACAGAUCGUGAGUUUGCGAAAGGCAUUUUCGAAUCUCUGAAGAUGUCUCAUGAAGGAAACAAGAAAGUCAAAGAAUCAAAGGCAUUGUCUUUGAUCCAAAAGUAUGAAUCCUUCAUCAUGGAGCCAAAUGAGUCCAUUGAAGAAAUGUUCUCCAGAUUUCAGUUGCUUGUAGCUGGCAUACGACCUCUCAACAAGAGCUACACAACAAAAGAUCAUGUCAUAAGGGUCAUCAGGUGUCUUCCUGAAAGUUGGAUGCCUUUAGUGACUUCAAUAGAGCUCACGAGAGAUGUUGAGAAUAUGAGUUUAGAAGAACUCAUCAGCAUUUUGAAAUGCCAUGAGCUGAAGCGCUCAGAGAUGCAAGAUCUGAGGAAAAAGUCCAUAGCCUUGAAAUCUAAAUCUGAAAAGGCUAAGGCUGAGAAGUCAAAAGCUCUUCAAGCUGAAGAAGAGGAAUCUGAAGAAGCAUCAGAAGAUUCUGAUGAAGAUGAGCUGACUCUGAUCUCCAAGAGACUCAAUCGCAUCUGGAAGCACAGGCAGAGCAAAUACAAAGGCUCUGGAAAGGCAAAAGGAAAGUCUGAAUCCUCAGGUCAGAAGAAGUCCUCACUUAAGGAAGUCACAUGCUUUGAGUGCAAAGAAUCAGGGCACUACAAAAGUGACUGUCCAAAGUUGAAGAAGGACAAGAAGCCAAAGAAGCACUUCAAGACAAAGAAGAGUCUGAUGGUGACAUUUGAUGAAUCAGAGUCAGAGGAUGUUGACUCUGAUGGUGAAGUCCAAGAACUCAUGGCUAUUGUCAAAGACAAAGAAGCAGAGUCAAAGGGAGUUGUUGACUCUGACUCAGAAUCAGAAGGAGAUCCUAACUCAGACGAUGAAAAUGAGGUAUUCGCUUCUUUCUCUACCUCUGAACUGAAACAUGCAUUGUCUGAUAUCAUGGAUAAGUAUAACUCCUUAUUGUCUAAGCAUAAGAAGCUGAAAAAGGACUUAUCUGCUGUUUCCAAGACUCCUUCUGAACAUGAGAAAAUUAUUUCUGAUUUGAAAAAUGAUAAUCAUGCUUUGAUCAAUUCUAACUCUGUGCUUAAGAACCAGAUUGCUAAGUUAGAAGAAAUUGUUGCUUGUGAUGCCUCUGAUUGUAGAAAUGAGUCUAAGUAUGAAAAGUCUUUUCAAAGAUUCCUAGCUAAAAGCGUGGAUAGAAGCUUAAUGGCUUCAAUGAUCUAUGGCGUAAGCAGAAAUGGAAUGCAUGGCAUUGACUAUUCUAAACCAAUUAGAAAUGAGCCCUCUGUGUCUAAAGCUAAAUCCUUGUAUGAAUGCUUUGUUCCCUCUGGUACCAUAUUGCCUGAUCCUUUACCUGCUAAAGUUGCUAAAAACCCUCUUAAAAAGGGAUCCUUCUCUAUGUCUAAAUAUCAUGCAAAUAUUCCUUUAAAAUAUCAUGUUGAGACACCCAAGGUGAUCAGAACCUCUGGGGUAACUAACAAGAAAGGACCCAGAAAGUGGGUACCUAAGGACAAGAUUAUCUAUGUUGCAGAUAUCCUUGAUAGCUCCACUGAAACACCAAUCAUGGUAUCUGGACAGUGGAUGCUCGCGUCACAUGACGAGAGAAAGACGUAUGUUCCAAGAGCUAAAACUUAAGCCUGGAGGCGAAGUUGGCUUUGGAGGAAAUGAAAAGGGUAAAAUUGUUGGUACUGGUACUAUUUGUGUAGAUAGUAGUCCAUGCAUUGAUAAUGUGUUAUUGGUAGACGGCUUAACACAUAACUGCCGGGCUGUAAGUCAGAUCGAUGGCUCUGUUCUGUUUAACAGCAAGAGGAAGAACAACAUUUAUAAGAUCAGAUAAUCUGAGUUGGAGGCUCAGAAUGUGAAGUGCCUUCUGUCUGUUAAUGAAGAGCAGUGGGUAUGACAUAGACGGUUAGGGCAUGCCAGUAUGAGAAAGAUUUCUCAGCUGAGCAAGCUAAACCUUGUCAGGGGCUUACCCAAUCUGAAGUUUGCUUCAGACGCUCUUUGUGAAGCAUGUCAGAAAGGCAAAUUCACAAAAGUCCCUUUCAAGGCAAAGAAUGUUGUCUCAACCUCAAGGCCGUUGGAACUUCUGCAUAUCGACCUUUUUGGACCAGUGAAAACUGAGUCUAUAGGUGGCAAGAGAUAUGGGAUGGUUAUCGUUGAUGACUAUAGCCGCUGGACAUGGGUAAAGUUUCUAACCCGCAAGGAUGAGUCUCAUGCUGUGUUCUCUACCUUCAUUGCCCAAGUGCAAAACGAGAAGGCUUGUAGGAUUGUGCGUGUCAGAAGUGACCAUGGUGGAGAGUUUGAGAAUGACAAGUUUGAGAGUCUGUUUGAUUCCUAUGGAAUUGCACAUGAUUUCUCUUGUCCCAGAACUCCUCAACAAAAUGGUGUUGUUGAGAGGAAGAACAGAACUCUUCAGGAGAUGGCUAGAACCAUGCUCCAAGAAACUGGCAUGGCUAAGCACUUUUGGGCAGAGGCAGUAAAUACAGCAUGUUACAUUCAGAACAGAAUCUCUGUGAGACCAAUUCUGAAUAAGACUCCCUAUGAAUUGUGGAAGAACAUAAAACCCAACAUUUCUUAUUUUCAUCCUUUUGGCUGUGUUUGUUAUGUUCUCAAUACUAAGGAUAGAUUGCAUAAAUUUGAUGCUAAAUCUUCUAAAUGUCUAUUACUUGGUUAUUCUGAGAGAUCUAAAGGUUUUAAAUUUUAUAAUACUGAUGCUAAGACUAUUGAAGAAUCUAUUCAUGUUAGAUUUGAUGAUAAGCUUGACUCUGACCAGUCAAAGCUAGUUGAGAAGUUUGCAGAUUUAAGCAUUAAUGUUUCUGACAAAGGCAAAGCUCCAGAGGAAGCUGAGCCAGAGGAAGAUGAACCAGAGGAAGAAGCUGGUCCCUCUAACUCACAAACUCUGAAGAAGAGCAGAAUCACUGCAGCUCACCCUAAGGAAUUGAUUCUGGGCAACAAAGACGAACCAGUCAGAACCAGAUCAGCCUUCAGACCCUCUGAAGAGACCUUGCUCAGUCUGAAAGGAUUGGUGUCCUUAAUUGAACCCAAGUCCAUAGAUGAAGCUCUUCAGGACAAGGAUUGGAUUCUGGCCAUGGAAGAAGAAUUGAAUCAAUUCUCCAAGAACGAUGUUUGGAGCUUAGUGAAGAAGCCUGAGAGUGUCCAUGUAAUUGGAACAAAAUGGGUAUUCAGAAACAAGCUGAAUGAGAAAGGAGAUGUAGUCAGAAACAAGGCAAGGCUAGUUGCUCAAGGCUACAACCAGCAGGAAGGAAUAGACUACACUGAAACAUUUGCUCCAGUAGCAAGACUGGAGGCAAUCAGACUGUUGAUCUCUUUCUCAGUGAAUCACAACAUAGUUCUACAUCAGAUGGACGUGAAGAGUGCCUUCCUAAAUGGUUAUAUUUCAGAGGAAGUCUAUGUUCAUCAACCCCCAGGUUUUGAAGAUGAGAAGAAGCCAGACCAUGUGUUCAAAUUGAAGAAGUCACUCUAUGGUCUGAAGCAAGCUCCCAGAGCAUGGUAUGAGAGACUCAGCUCAUUCCUUCUGGAGAAUGAGUUUGUAAGGGGUAAAGUAGAUACAACUCUUUUUUGCAAGACUUAUAAAGAUGAUAUCUUAAUAGUGCAAAUUUAUGUUGAUGAUAUUAUAUUUGGUUCUGCUAAUCAAUCUCUAUGCAAAGAAUUUUCUGAGAUGAUGAAGGCUGAAUUUGAGAUGAGUAUGAUGGGAGAAUUAAAGUACUUUCUGGGAAUACAAGUUGAUCAAACACCAGAAGGAACAUAUAUCCAUCAGAGCAAGUACACUAAAGAACUUCUGAAGAAGUUCAAUAUGCUGGAAUCUACAGUGGCCAAGACUCCAAUGCAUCCUACAUGCAUUCUGGAGAAAGAAGAUAAAAGUGGUAAAGUAUGUCAGAAGCUCUAUCGUGGCAUGAUAGGUUCACUUCUAUACUUAACUGCAUCUAGGCCAGACAUACUAUUUAGUGUUCAUUUAUGUGCUCGUUUCCAAUCAGAUCCAAGGGAAACCCACUUAACUGCUGUUAAGAGGAUCCUAAGGUAUCUGAAAGGCACCACUAACCUUGGCUUGAUGUAUAAGAAAACAUCAGAGUAUAAGCUUUCAGGUUAUUGUGAUGCUGAUUAUGCUGGAGAUAGAACAGAGAGAAAAAGUACUUCUGGAAAUUGUCAAUUUCUGGGAAGCAAUCUAGUCUCAUGGGCAAGCAAGAGGCAAUCAACCAUUGCACUAUCAACUGCAGAGGCAGAAUAUAUCUCAGCAGCAAUAUGCAGCACUCAGAUGCUCUGGAUGAAACAUCAGCUGGAGGAUUAUCAGAUCCUUGAGAGCAAUAUCCCAAUCUAUUGUGAUAACACUGCUGCAAUCUCAUUGAGUAAGAAUCCUAUCUUGCAUUCAAGGGCAAAGCACAUUGAGGUAAAGUAUCACUUUAUUAGAGAUUAUGUACAGAAGGGCGUACUUCUUCUGAAGUUUGUUGAUACUGACCAUCAAUGGGCAGAUAUCUUUACAAAGCCCUUAGCAGAGGAUAGAUUUAAUUUUAUUCUGAAAAAUCUGAACAUGGACUUUUGUCCAGAGUGAAGAUGGAUCAGAACCUCUGACUAUGAUACUUCUUGAUCAGAAGAUGUCUAGUCCAGAAGGUAACUCAAUCAGAGUGUGUGUACCCAUUGGUACGGACUCUGAAGCUGAGACAGCAACACGUGUGUCAGUAUUUCUGAUGCAUAGUUCCUUGUGCCCGUGUGACAGUCUGUCAUGUUGCGUGUAGAUGUGCUUCUCUCCUGUGUGUGAUAUGUGUAUUUACUAUUACUAUCUAUCUUUAAUUUUCAACCGUUGAUUUUAAAUUGCUUUUUGAAUCAACAACGGUUAUUUGUCAAAACCCACUAUACACACACGAUCUCCUUCACUUUCGGUUUUUACUCUCUCUCUCUUCUGCUAUUUCAAAACCGCUUACCCUCGAUUUCUCUCUCGAUCUCUCUUCAUCUUUCAACCUUCAUCUUCUACCUAAACCUUCAACCGCUCCAAAAAUGGUGAGUCAAACCAGAAGAGCUACUGCAGAUGCAACCCAGUUCCCUCAUAUGGUAGUUGGUCUAGCAACAGGUCAAAGGGGUCCUGAGAAUCCGAAUCAAGAUCAAGGUCAAGCUCAAGAGCAGAUUAUUCCGAUUGCAGAACGGGGCUGUGCCGUUCACUGCGUAUAUGCUCCUGAGGAACUUCAAGUACUGGCAGAAUGGAGAUUCGACCUCGACAACCUUGCUACAAAUGGGUAUGAUCUUCGUCCUGAAGUCCAAGCUCAAGGUUGGGGAAAUUACUUCAACAGGCUUCGAGGACCGGUGUAUGACAAACUGAUCAAGGAAUUCUGGAAGCACGCCGACUGCGAUGAUACUCAGGUGGUAUCUCACAUUCUUGGAAGGAAGAUCAUCAUUACAGAGAAGUCUUUCGUGAAUCUGCUGUGUGCAGAAACUGCUCUUGGGUAUCGUUUCCAAUUCACUGAAUCGAAGCUGAAACCCAAGACGAAGGAUGAGACCAACAAGGCCCUGUACACCAAUUACAAACCGGGCAAGACUAAUUACAAAGUGAUGGACCUUCAUCCCAAGCUCAGGAUCUGGCACAAGAUUUUGCUCAACUGCAUACACCAGAGACCAAAGGGCAGUUCCCCAGACUACAUCAACUUCAACCAGAAGGCGAUGUUGUUCUUCAUCCAAGACAAGAAGAAGAUCUGCCUUCCCUACUUCCUGUUCUCCUACUUGAAGGAGUGUAUCCGGAAGUCUCGUACCACUGCCUCCAUCAAGUCAGCAAUCAAGUAUAUUCCCUUUGGGAGACUGUUGUCUGAUCUCUUCAUUGAGAGUGGCCUCAUUCAAGAUCUGGUAAAUGCUGGAUGCACAGAGGAUCUGACCACCAUUGUCAGUGAUGUCUUCACUGCGAAUUCUCUAAAGAAAAUGGGCCUAGUCAAGAAGAAGAUUGCUCCUGCCCAUGAAGACACAUCUUCUGAAAUCAGAAGUAGAAGGGUGCCUCUGUGGACACAGGCAGACAAUCCUGAAGCCAUUAGGUGCUAUGUUGAAGACCUAAGGGCUCAAGGCUAUGAAAUUGAUCUCGAUGAAUUCUUCAGCAGACUACCGCCAGCUCCAGAGUUUCCUUCUCCUAUCAAGAAGAAAGUUCAGAGGAAGAUGAUCCUAGAAGAAUCUUCUGAGGAAUCAGAUGUCCCUCUGACCAAAGGGAAGAAGGCUGGUCAAUCCAAGAGAAAACAUGAUGAAACCAGCAAGCCAGAUGAUGGUGAUAAUGAGGAUGGUCCUCCUUCUCCUAAGAAGAAGAAGAAGCAGGUCAGAAUUGUGGUGAAGCCUACUCGGGUGGAACCAGCUGCUGAAGUGAUCAGAAGGAUUGAAACUCCUGCCAGAGUGACAAGAUCAUCAGCACAAUCAAGUAAGUCUGCAGUUGCUUCUGAUGAUGAUUUGAAUUUAUUUGAUGCACUCCCCAUAUUAGCCAUGCUCAAACAAUCUUCAAAUCCACUCCCUCCUAUUUCUGAGUCCCAACCAGCUGCACAAACCACCUCUCCUCCACAUUCCCCAAGGUCUUCAUUUUUUCAACCUUCUCCUACUGAAGCACCUAUCUGGAAUUUGCUCCAGAACCAACCCUCUAGGCCAGAUGAACCAACCUCUCCCAUUACCAUCCAGUACAACCCAUUAACUUCUGAACCCAUCAUCCAUGAGCAACCAGAGCCUAACCAAACAGAACCUGGACCCAGAACCUCUGAUCACUCUGUCCCAAGAGCAUCAGAACGUCUGGCUCCCAGAACCACGGAUACAGACUCUUCCACAGCCCUUACACCUGUAUCCUUCCCAACAAAUGUUGCUGACUCUUCUCCUUCCAACAACUCUGAAUCCCUUCGAAAAUUCAUGGAAGUUAGAAAAGAAAAGGUGUCUACCUUAGAAGAAUAUUACCUCACUUGUCCAAGCCCUAGGAGAUAUCCUGGCCCUAGACCUGAACGUCUAGUUGACCCAGAUGAACCUAUCUUGGCCAAUCCUUUACAUGAGGCAGACCCUUUGGCUCAACAAGCUCACCCUGCCCCUAACCAACAAGAGCCUGUUCAACCAGAACCUGAACCAGAACAAUCUGUGUCUAACCACUCCUUAGUUAGAUCACCCCAUCCUCUGGUUGAAACUUCAGAACCUCACCUUGGAACCUCUGAACCAAAUGCUCAAAUGUUUAACAUUGGCUCUCCACAAGGUGCCUCUGAAGCUCACAGCAGCAAUCACCCAGCCUCUCCUGAAACCAACCUCUCUAUAAUUCCUUACACUCACCUCCGACCCACAUCUCUCUCUGAGUGCAUCAAUAUUUUCUAUCAUGAAGCCUCAUUGAUGCUACGCAAUGUGCAAGGUCAGACUGACCUAAGCGAGAAUACUGAACAUGUGGCUGAAGAGUGGAACAAUCUGAGCACUUGGCUAGUGGCUCAAGUUCCAGUUAUGAUGCAGCUCCUGCAUGCAGAGGGAAGUCAGAGGAUCGAGGCUGCAAAGCAAAGGCUUGCUAGAAGGGUGGCUCUUCAUGAACAAGAACAGAGACAUAAGCUACUUGAAGCUAUUGAAGAAGCCAAAAGAAGGAAAGAACAAGCAGAAGAAGCUGCACGUCAAGCAGCAGCUCAAGCUGAACAAGCCAGAUUAGAGACAGAACGACUUGAAGCUGAGGCUGAAGCUCUUAGAUGCCAAGCACUUGCACCCGUAGUUUUUACUCCUGCUGCUUCUGCUUCCACUCCAGCCCCUCACGCUGCUCAGAAUGUUCCUUCUAGUUCUACACAGCCAAACUCGUCCAGACUCGACAUUGUGGAACAACGUCUUGACGCUCAUGAGUCUCUGCUGAUUGAAAUGAAGCAAAUGAUGAUGGAACUUCUGCGUCGAUCUGAUAAACCCUAGCUUUAGGAUCUCUUCGUUUUGAUUUCUUUUUCUUUAUCUGUGUUUUAUUUCGUUAACCUCUGGCUCUUUCUUGUUAAUCUUUACUUUGCUCGUUUGUGAUUAUCUAUGCAUAUAUAUAUAUAUAUAUCUGACAUUAUGUUUGCAAUUUUUUUUAUUAUUAUUCAUCAUAACCGCUUUUACAUCAUACAUUUUCUCUCUUUUUCCUAAAAUCCUAGAAUGGAGGAUCCCUCCUCAUUCUUCUGCACUCCUGGCGCUGCUCUGACCUCUCCUUCUCCAGACGCUCCAGUGCAUACUGGAUGUUGUUGAGCCUGUCUUUUAGCUCAUCCCUCUCCAGAAUCUCUUAUGCAGUCUUGAGCUUCUUUUCCAAGAUCUCUUUUUCUUCCAGCAGCUUUAGUUCAAGCUGGCUGAGUUCUUGCACCUCCUCCACGAAGGCGAGAAAUUCCCUCAAGUCUCUCUUCAACUCUGGACGCAGGUCCUCCUCCAGCAGUGUCCGUGUUAGCUCUGAGAUGGUUGUUGUACCCUCUGGAUGCCUAAUGUUGAGAAACAAGUCCUCCUCAAAGGCUCUCUUUCUCAGCUCCUCUAAUGCGAUCAUGUCUGACGCCAUUUUUCUCUGGUAUGAUGUUGUGAAGCUUACCCCUCUCUCCAACGCUUUAUAUAGGCUUCACUUUCUCUCUGAAAGUUAAUGCUCCUACAGUUUCUCGAGGUUAAGUUCUUGGUAACUGACCCUCCUCUUUACUCCCUUGGCCGGUGGUAAACGUUCUUAUCUUGCAUUAACUCUUCUAUUUAUUUCGCCUAACUCUGAUUCAUGCAUCGUUUUCAUUUUCUUUAAACUUAGACCUUCUCUAAGGGGGAGUACCUUGUACUUCAAGCUAAGUUUUUCACACCCCAAGCUUUUUGCUUAUGACAAAAAGGGGGAGUAAACCCAGUUUUUGAUGUGUAAGAUGUGUUAGUGUGAUUUAUUUUUCUUUUGGAGAAUUUAAGAGUUCCACCUUUAUGACCAUAGAUGUGUCACUGGGCAAAUACAAGGAAUACAUUUCACUUCUUCUGAAGUGAUUCUAAUUUGACUCUGAUACCCAAGACUCUGAUACCUUGUCCGUGACUCUGAUUACUUAUGCGCUCUGAUUACUCUAUUUUCAUCUAUGUCAUAAGUUUUUCACUCUGAACUCUUAUAUCAUUUAGCUCAGAAUCUAGACUUUACUAAUGUUUUCAUCAAGUAUUAGAUUCAGGGGGAGCUAAGCUCAGAAUCAAGCAGUGACUUGAAUUCAGAAUGAGCAAGAUAAACUAUUCACAUCAGGAUAAGUCUUGUUCUAUAUCUCUAAACUCUGAGUGAAUUCAGUUUAAUGUUUAAGAAUUGUUCAUCAAAAAUCUUAGUUUUGUCAUCAUCAAAAAGGGGGAGAUUGUAAGAUCAAGUUUUGAUCUAGUAGUACAACUCUAUGUUUUGAUGAUUACAAGUUAACCUUUUGAUAUGAACAAUUGUGGUACUCUAACGUGUUUUUCUGAGUGUGCUAUUCACAGGCUCUGACCUCAACUCAAUCUCACACAAAUCAGAAGCACUGUGUAUAAAGAGCGACCCAAGCAACGCUUUCGCAUUCACCAUGUUCAGUAUGAACAGUGGAAAAGCUUCAGAAGUUCUGAAGUUAUACAAACUCUGAUGUGGACUCAGUCACUAGAAGUUCUGAAGAUUCAGAAGGUCUGAUAACCAAGAAACACUGAAGGCUCAGAUAUUCUGAUGGUGUAGAAGACUCUGAAGAUCCAGAAGCUGAUUAGUGAAAUUCUGAUGUCCAGAAGCAAGAUACUCUGAAGACCAUGUACUUCCCUCUGAGUUCAGAAUCAGAAGAAACAAUGGUCAGAGGAUCUGGGCUUUCCCUCUGACUCUGAUCAACCGGCUUCACAAGUUCCAACAUGAAGCUUUCUCCUGAUCAGAAGUCUCCUAGGUUUAAAGGUCAAGUCGCUAUCCAAGUACAAAAGCAACUGUACCUUCCUGACGACCUACCUAACAGUCUCAGACACAGCAGAAGCUGGAUUUUCCAGAACUGCCCUCCAACGGUAGCAUUUCCCAUGCAACGCUCAACCCUAAUCCUUGGAGUAUAUAAAGAGGCUGAAGACUGAAAGAAGCGGCUAGAAGCAUUCACAUACGCGCAAGACAAAUUCAAAUUCUUCUAAGCUUUCUUUCAUCUGAAAUUCAUUGAGUUUACUAUUAGCUUUUUAGAAGCAAAUCUCUUGUAAACAAUUCUUUGAUAAACAGUUUGUUUAGUUCCUUUAGGAGAUCAAGGUUGAUCGGAUCCUAGAGAAGACUAAGAGAGUGAAUCUUAGUGUGAGCUAAGUCAGUGUAAUUGUUAGUCACUUGUAGGUUUCAAGUGCAGUUGUAACUCUUACCUGAUUAGUGGAUUGCCUUCAUUCUAAGAAGGAAGAAAUCACCUUAACGGGUGGACUGGAGUAGCUUGAGUGAUUUAUCAAGUGAACCAGGAUAAAAUCCUUGUGUGCUUUUCUAUCUCUUAUCUUUAGCACUUAAGUUCUCGAAAGAUUUGUCAAAAUCUUUAAGGUGGAAGCUUUAUCUUGAAAACGUUAUUCAAACCCCCCCCCCCCCUUUCUACCGUUUUUCAUACCUUCAGCCUUGUGGCAGAGGGUGCUCUGUGGGAAAUAUGGGUUGCCUAUGGAAUUAAUAUCUUUUAAUUUGGAUAUUUUAGCAUCUACAAAUAUGUCUACCCCUCUAGCUGAUGUGUGUGCAAUUUAGCGCGAAAGUGGGCUGGUUGGGAGUGUGUUCAAAGAUGGCUUAGCUUGUCAAGUUGGAAGGGGGUAGGUGUUUUAUUCUGGAUAGAUCAUUGGGCGGGCUCAGGUCCUUUUAGGCUUGUAUUCCCUCGUGUAUUUGCUCUAGCUGCGAAUAAGAGAGCUACGAUCAGGGAGUGUGGGGUGGUUACAGGGUCUCAGUGGGUAUGGAAUAUAGCUUUUUUGAGGGAAUUUUUGGGCUGGGAACGUCAACAGUAUGAAGAGUUACAGUGUGUCCUGAAUCAGUUGGUUCCAAAGCAGGGAGCCCGAGCAGAAGCAGACAUCAUGGUAUGGAAGCAUGACAAUAUGUUUACUGUUAAAUCUCUAUGUUCUGUAGUUGAGGCACGAUGGUUCACAGAGGACGGUUGGUCAAUUCCUAAAGUAUUAAGGCCUAUUUUACCUUCAAAAAUUGUUUUAUUUUUGUGGCAGGUGCAGAAGAAUAGAAUUGCUACUAAAGAGAAUUUGCAGCGUCGUGGUGUAGUUUUGGAGGGGGGGGGGUGGAGUGUGUUUUUUGCAUGACUGCACCUGAGACUGUGGCACAUCUUUUUAUGCAUUGUCCUAAGGUUUGGCAUUUAUGGACAUCAGUGUUAUUUAGGGAAGGAGUUUGGUGGGUGAUGCCAGAAUCGAUUCUGGAUCUUUUGGAAGUUUGAGUAUCAAUGCGGAGAACAACCUCAAGAGUUUUGUGAGAUUUGAUUCCCUAUGCGAUGUGUUGGGUAUUAUGGUUGGCUAGAAAUAAUGUGAUUUUUAAUGACAAACUUUUUGAUGCAGAGGAAGCAUGGGAGUCUCAUAUAUUUAUGAUGUUCACCUGGAUAAAAGCAUGGUGGAAGGAUUGUCCAUAUGGGGCAGAUCAAUUUGCUAGAGGUUUUACAAGAAUUGAUAUUCAAGGGAAGGUUGGUUUUCGUCAAGUGGUACCUUGGAAACCUCCUCACGGUAUGAAUUUAAAGUUUAAUGUUGAUGGGUCUUUUCAAUCUGGCAGUGUUGGAAUUGGUGGAAUUCUAAGGAAUAGUGGGGGAAGUGUGAUAGGUAAAUUCUCAAGGAAAGUUGAGGUUCAGAGAGCUGAUGAGGCUGAGGUUUUGGCCAUUUUGUAUGCUCUCCUGUUUUGUCAGCAAUACAUGAUUUUUUCAGUGGAAGUGGAGAGUGAUUCUAUUCUUGCAGUUGGUUGGGUGAGAGGGGAAAAGCAGAGACCUUGGAAGCUGGCAAAUGAGCUAAACAUGAUUGAUUACUUGAUGCCACUUGUCAAGUGCAUUGGAGUGAAGCAUAUAUUACGGGAAGGGAAUGCAGAGGCAGAUGAGUUGGCCAAGCAAGGUUGCUUUUGUAUGGAACCGGUUUGGUUAUUCUUAGGGUGCUAGAUACAUUGGUGCAAUUCACUGUUUUAGUUUUCUUUUUGCUGUAGGAAAUCUAAUAUAAGCUGAAGAACAAAUUGGUGCAUUUGGUAGCUUAUGUAGAUUCUUGGUUGCUGAACUUGCUGCUGAGUUGUAGAUUGACGAAUGCGUCACAAAUGGAAUUUUUGUAAUUGAUGUCGUUGUUGAAGUAAACAAUGCUGUUGCUGUUUUUGCUGUUGUUGUUGGCUGUUAUCACUGUUACUGCUGUUUCUGUUUUGCUGUUGCUGUUGAAAUUCUGUUGCUGUUGCUGUUGCUGUUGCUGUCGCUGUUGGCUGUUGCUGAAAUUCGAAAAUUAUAACAAUGCUGGUGCUGUUGCUGUUGCUGAAUUCCGAAAAUAAUAAGCUUGUUGGUGCGGUUUUGUUGUUGUUGCAGCUGUAUUAUGGUGCUGUUCUUGUCUGAUGUUUGUUGCACUACGAACAUGCAUAGUCUGGCUCUUCUGGGAUCUUUAAUUUCCUGUACUUCUCCCAACUACGCUAUAUUAGCUUUUUCAUGCUUGUAGGGGCUAUUUUCGUUUGAAUCUUGUUGUGAAAUGGUUAUCCCAAGAUUGUGGUACUCUUUUUCCUUGCUAGGUUUUUAUCCCAUUGGGUUUUUCCUAGCAAGAUUUUAAUGAAGCUCUCUCUUGAGAAUUCGGUUGUGCCAUUUUGCAGGUUGGUGGUGGGUUUUUAUUUCUCAGCCUCAUGUAACUUGUACUUUGCCUGUUUUGCUUCUUUGGCUCAGGCUAUUUCAUUAUUAAUAUAUCUUUCAUUUUCAAAAAAAAAAUUUAUUCAAUUUUUUAAAACAAAAAAUAGUUUUUAGAAACUUUAAUAAAAAAGGCCCUUAAUAAUUUCAUUAUUAUAAAUUCUUAUAAGUAUAAUAUUUUAUCAAAAUAAAUAAAUAAUGGAAUUGAAAAAUAAAUUCAAUUUUUUUUUUAUCUUUAACGGAUGUUCUCGCCCGUUUGAGAAAGUAAAAAAAUAUAGGUAUUCCUUACAAAAAAGACUUUUUUAAGAUCGGACUUGUAUUCUAAUUAUUACCGGAUCUAGUUUGGUUACUACUAGACUAAUACUUAUUAGUAUGCAUACAAUGUAUAAAAUGUUUAUUGGUUUAAGAAACAUUUUUUUGGAUAAAAAAUGCAUAAUUUGUUUAUCAGAGAAUACUUUUUGGUUUAAUUUUAGUAUUUAAAUUAAGAAAAAGUGUUUGUGCAAAUAUAUAGUAGCAUAACACAUGUGUUUGUGCAAAUAUAUAGUAGCAUUCCUCCUCUAAGAAAAACACACGUGAAUAAGAAUAAAGACAAGAUUAAAAAAAAAAUUAACCGUUUUUCAUUGAAAAAUGAAUAUAAAUAAUGACUAUUUUUCACUUGGCACACACAAUUUUUCCUUUACAUUCUAUUCUCUGAAGAAGACUCAAGGUUGAGCAUGUAGCCCUCCCCUCAAUUUUCAUCCACCAUUGGAGUUAAGCUUACACUUACUUAUUGCUUGCACAACACAAGGUCAUAGUAGUUUUCCUUUCACUUUGAGGUUCUUAGAUGGUACCAUGUAGAUUGAUUGUGAUAUUAUAGAGCUUAUAGGGGUUACUCAAUUCAAUGUUUACUUUACGGUGCAAAUGGGUAUUUUUUUCUUAUGACCUAUGUUUAAAAAGAUUGAUGCUCGCAAGGUGUUUGUUAAAAUGCUUAGUUAAUAGAAUGUUUAGCUAGUGUGUGAUUGGGUAAGAGAUUGUUAAGGAUCUUUGUAAAUUUGAUGUCAAAAGAUUUUUCCAAUUUGAGUACCCCAAUUAAAUGGUUUGCAUCCAAUUUGAAUAUAUAUACUUCCAAGAUUAAGGUAGCAAGAAACAGAAAUAAAGAAUAGGGGAAGAAACAGAGAUACGAAAAACAGGGAAAGGGAAAAAAGCAUUGGUGAAGCAUGGGUGAGUGAUAUCGUUGUGACCAUGAAGUAUGUUCCAGACUUUAUUUACCUAUGUCGUUGUGAUGCCAAGCAUCUUCCUGACUUCCCUUUAGAGUAUAAUUUAAAGAGCAUGUUAUAUAGCUAUUUGAUAUUCAAUCUAUCAUAGUCGGUGCACUGUUAAGUAUCCUCUUCAUAUGUACCUUAGAUGCAUGAAAUGCACAUCAUAUUGUUUUUUCCAAAUCUAUUGUUUGUUUUACUGUGCAAAUGAGCAGUUGUUUGUUGAAAUGCUUAGUGCGUGAUUGUGUUGAGUGAUUAUCUUUGCAAAUUUGAUGCAAAUACAAAUUCUAAAUCAAGGUCAACAGUGGAGCACAUUUCAAACAAGAAAAGGAAGCGCGGUUCAAACAAGAAAAAGAAAGAUGCCAAGAAGAAGAAGAUUUUUUUUCAAAGAAGACAAAGGGGACAAAUGACUAUUUAUAACAUAGCAAUACAAUAAUUACUCUUAUUUUGUAGGUUGAAGCCAAGACUCUAAUCAUUAGCAUAUUGUACACUAAAUCCCCAGAGAAUGAUAGGUUGCAAUGGUGCCAUCAGGAUGCGUUAACACUCAAAGAAAAACUAACACCACUUGGAUUCAUGGACACAAAUAUAUUGAUGAUGUCAGAUAGUUACUAAAGCAAAGAAGAAUCAGAAUGUCCUAGUAUACAUUGGAAGUCAUGGUGUUCUUGAUGAUUAUAACAAUGAGAUUUUAGCAUCAGAUGGAGACGUGGUUAAGGGUAAGUAUUUUGCACAAUUUGGAAAUUUGUUACAAAACCAUUGAGUAAUACAACUUUUUUCCUUUGACAGAUGAGCUAUUCUCUCAAGAAGACUCAAGGUUGAGUAUGUAGCCCUCCCCUCCACUUCCAUCCACAAAUGGAGUCAAGCUUGCACUUACUUAUCCCUUGCACAACACAACGUAAUAGUAGUUCUCAGAUCAUACCAUGUAGAUUGAUUGUGAUAUUGUAGAGCUUAUAGGGGUUACUCAAUUCAAUGUUUACUUUACGAUGCAAAUGAGAAUUUUUUUCUUAUGACCUAUGUUUAAAAAGAUUGAUGCUCGCAAGGUGUUUGUUAAAAUGCUUAGUUAAUAGAAUGUUUAGCUAGUGUGUGAUUGGGUAAGAGAUUGUUAAGGAUCUUUGUAAAUUUGAUGUCAAAAGAUUUGUCCAAUUUGAGUACCCCAAUUAAAUGGUUUGCAUCCAAUUUGAAUAUAUAUACUUCCAAGAUAAAGGUAACAAAAAACAGAAAUAAAGAACAGGGGAAGAAACAGAGAUACGAAAAACAGGGAAAGGGAAAAAAGCACAGGUGAAGCAUGGGUGAGUGAUAUCAUUGUGACCAUGAAGUAUGUUCCAGACUUCCAUUAUAUCACAAAUGCAACGUUGUGAUCAUGAUUGAGAAAGUGUCACAAAUGCUUUGCCUAUGUCGUGGUGAUGCCAAGCAUCUUCCUGACUUCCCUUUAGAGUAUAAUUUAAAGAGCAUGUUAUAUAGCUAUUUGAUAUUCAAUAUAUCAUAGUCGGUGCACUGUUAAGUAUCCCCUUCAUAUGUACCUUAGAUGCAUGAAAUGCACAUCAUAUUGUUUCUUCCAAAUCUAUUGUUUGUUUUACUGUGCAAAUGAGCAGUUGUUUGUGGAAAUGCUUAGUGUGUGAUUGUGUUGAGUGAUUAUCUUUGCAAAUUUGAUGCAAAUACAAAUUCUAAAUCAAGGUCAACAAUGGAGCACAUUUCAAACAAGAAAAGGAAGCGCGGUUCAAACAAGAAAAAGAAAGAUGCCAAGAAGAAGAAGAGAGCCGAUUGUAAAGUAGCAUCAACUUCAGCUUCAGUGGAGCAGGUAUACCUUCUUUUUGUCCAAAGAAGAAAAAGGGGACAAAUGACUAUUUAUAACAUAGCAAUACAAUAAUUACUCUUAUUUUGUAGGUUGAAGCCAAGACUCUAAUCAUUAGCAUAUUGUACACUAAAUCCCCAGAGAAUGAUAGGUUGCAAUGGUGCCAUCAGGAAGCGUUAGCACUCAAGGAAAAGCUAACACCACUUGGAUUCAUGGACACAAAUAUAUUGAUGAUUUCAGAUAGUUACUAAAUCAAAGAAGAAUCAGAAUGUCCUAGUAUACGUUGGAAGUCAUGGUGUUCUUGAUGAUUAUAACAAUGAGAUUUUAGCAUGAGAUGGAGACGUGGUUAAGGGAAAGUAUUUUGCAAAAUUUUGAAAUUUGUUAUAAAACCAUUGACUAAUAAAAUUUUUUCCUUUGACAGAUGAGCUAUUCUCUGAAGAAGACUCAAGGUUGAGUAUGUAGCCCUGCCCUCCAUUUCCAUCCACCAUUGGAGUCAAGCUUGCACUUACUUAUUUCUUGCACAACACAAGGUAAUAGUAGUUUUCCUUUCACAUAUGUGUUUGGUCCUAAGACUAAAAGGAAGCGCCCCUGCCUCUUGGCUUUUGAUUAUCAGUCCUUAGCUAAGAAAGCUCAUGUUGCACAAGGUAAAACUUAUGGCUGGCGUGGCUUAUUUCUGAUUUAGCUUUAGCAUGUUGGAUUCUUUGUGUUUUUCAAUUAACUGUGAUCCGUGGAAUUAUAGCUUCAUGUGGCAGUACUUGUUUUUUGGGAUAGGUCACCACUUCAACCGUUAAUGUAAUUGUUGUUAUAAUCAUUUUCCUAUAUCACUUUGCAGACGCUUUUGAAGAAAAGUAUGGUGCAGGUGCUAGUGGAACUCCACAAGCUAAUGAAGCAGAUGGAUUUAUAGAUUUACUGGGGCAUACCAUGUUUCAGAAAGGUCAAAGCAAGCACAUUUCAGGUAAGCUCUACAAGGUCAUCGAUUCUUCAGAUGUUGUUGUCCAGGUAAAAUCUCAUCUUUUGCUGUAAUUUUGUUCAACUUUCUUCAUAUCACUAUCAUCAUGCAAGUGUGUUAUCCCAAGUAUUGAUGUUUAUGUAUCAUAAUGCAGGUUCUAGAUGCAAGGGAUCCUCAAGGCACACGGUGUUACCAUUUAGAGAAGCUAUUCAAAGAAAAUUGCAAGUACAAGCACAUGGUGCUUUUACUGAACAAGGUAAUGGCUAAUUCGCAUCAUUGUAUUUGUAUCUUCUUGUUAUUGUUCUAAAACUUCACUGAACAUCAUAACUUGCUAUUUUCGGCAUUUUAAAUCAUCAUUUUUUUAGUGUGAUCUGAUUCCGGCUUCGGCAACAAAAGGGUGGCUUAGAGUUUUGUCAAAAGAAUAUCCAACUCUAGCAUUCCAUGCAAGCAUUAACAAGUCCUUCGGAAAGGUAUAUUUAGUAUACCUUAGUUAUUUGUUUAGUUUAUCCAUCAAUUUACUGAAUGUGGUAUCCUUCAUGAAGGAAAUGAAAGAUUAUUGAAGUUGGAGAUAACACAUCUUGCUUUCUCUCAUUUAACUAGUCCAUUCAUUCAUCAAUUUGAUAUUUUCUUAAUGGUCAUUAUCAUGCAAUAGGGCUCACUUCUAUCGGUUCUGAGACAAUUUGCUCGAUUGAAAAGUGAUAAGCAAGCAAUAUCUGUUGAAUUUAUUGGAUAUCCAAAUGUUGGGAAGUCAUCAGUGAUUAAUACGUUGCGAACGAAAAAUGUAAAUAUUCUUUCUCCUUAACUGCUUCAGGCUUCUGUUUAAUUUGUUUAGUAUGGAAGCUUGAAAUUAAUGAAAGCAUAGAAGCGCAAAUUUAUCCUCUAUGGAAUCAAUAUUUAAAACUUUGUUGUCGAAUGAGCAUUUUAUCAUGUUGAUUGACGUGUGCCAUUAUGUGUCAAAGGUCGGCAAGGUUGCUCCAAUUCCAGGGGAAGCAAAAGUAUGGCAGUAUAUAACUCUUACAAAGGUCGGCAAGGUUGAUCGACUGUCCAGGUGUUGUUUACCAAAACAAGGAUUCUGAAGUAGAUGUUGUGCUGAAGGGCGUGGUAGGUUUCCUCCUGUGUUCUUCAAUUUUGUUUGUCAUUCACCUUAAUAAAUAAUAUUAUGGUCAGACUUUUUUUUUGUUUAAUGUUAUUUCUGCCGAACACAAUGGCUUUGGUUGUUGUAAUUUGUUUUUAGUGCUUUUCAUUUUAUUAUUUAGGGAUAUGGUGUCAACCAAUCAACCCGGUAGUCUCCAGUGAUAUAUAUUUUGUUGAGUUGUUGUCUAGUGGUAUAGUAUACAUUUUUAUAUGUAAAACUUAGUCCCAUAAUGAGCUAUUCUUAGGGUUUGCAAGACUGAAUAUGGGCUACAGGGCUAGUGGAUUAUCUCUUUAACCCAGGUUCAAACACACUAGUGGUAUCUGUGGCAUUCUUGCCCACAAAAUAUGAUUAUGAUCAAUAUUGCUUCUCCCCUUAUGUUGAUUUGUUAGAUUGGUGACUAAUUGUUAUUGAUAUGUUCCGAUGUAUUGAGUUAUAGUGAGUUCACCUACCAACCUAAUGAUCAUAGCUUUUAUUGGGUUGUUUUAUGUUACAAAUUCUAAAUCUGUUUGCCUGGGCUCAUGCUUGUUUUGCUUGCUCAAUGAAUAAUUUACUCCUGCUUUCAUAUUCUAACAGAAAUUCGUGUGAAAUUUAUUUUGCAUAUUAGUUGUGUAGAAUGUAGAUAUGUUGUAGUAGUAAUAAUACAAAUAAUAAUAACAAUAAUUGUAGAGUGUACAAUUAUCAUCAUCAUUAUAGUCUUGGCUUAGUACUUGAUUUAUUUUCAGGUACGUGUAACAAACUUGAAAGAUGUUGCGGAUCGUAUAGGUGAGGUUUUGAAACGUGUGAUGAAGGAGCACUUGCACAGAGCAUAUAAAAUGAAAGAGUGGUAUGUUUUCUUGUCUCCUAACUCCAUGGUGACAAGUAGGUCGCUCUAGAGUGUUCUCACCUUUUGUAAUUGUGUUGGCAGAAAACGACCUAAGUUUGCAAUCUUUGGCAUUGAGAAAUCUGUGUUAUUGUAGUUGUUAUAUAAGAACACCAUUAUCAUACUGUGUCAUCCAACCAACCCCAUGAAAUUGACCUAAGUUUGCAAUCUUUGUCAACUACUCCUUCCGUUCCAAUGCAUUUUUUUUCUCACUUUCUUACUUUUAUAUCAUCAUUUAGUUUUAUAUCUCUUCCCUACCACCUUCAAUUGUCACCUAUCACAACUCUCACUAUGCACUUAAAAAAUAAUUAUUUUUCUCUCUACUUAAUAUAGCUAAACUUUAAAGCGUAUUUUAGUCAACUAUUUUAUCAAAUAGUGAUUUCUUAAUUCUCGUGCAUAACCUUAAACAACAUAAAUAUUGAAACGGUGGGAGUGCAAAACUAUAGACUUUUGAAAAUAGAAAUUGUUUAAAAUUGACAGCCUGAGACUAUUAUAUCAGGCUGCAACCUUUUGCUCAUUUGGUCUGAAUCGUAAAAUNNNNNNNNNNNNNNNNNNNNNNNNNNNNNNNNNNNNNNNNNNNNNNNNNNNNNNNNNNNNNNNNNNNNNNNNNNNNNNNNNNNNNNNNNNNNNNNNNNNNNNNNNNNNNNNNNNNNNNNNNNNNNNNNNNNNNNNNNNNNNNNNNNNNNNNNNNNNNNNNNNNNNNNNNNNNNNNNNNNNNNNNNNNNNNNNNNNNNNNNNNNNNNNNNNNNNNNNNNNNNNNNNNNNNNNNNNNNNNNNNNNNNNNNNNNNNNNNNNNNNNNNNNNNNNNNNNNNNNNNNNNNNNNNNNNNNNNNNNNNNNNNNNNNNNNNNNNNNNNNNNNNNNNNNNNNNNNNNNNNNNNNNNNNNNNNNNNNNNNNNNNNNNNNNNNNNNNNNNNNNNNNNNNNNNNNNNNNNNNNNNNNNNNNNNNNNNNNNNNNNNNNNNNNNNNNNNNNNNNNNNNNNNNNNNNNNNNNNNNNNNNNNNNNNNNNNNNNNNNNNNNNNNNNNNNNNNNNNNNNNNNNNNNNNNNNNNNNNNNNNNNNNNNNNNNNNNNNNNNNNNNNNNNNNNNNNNNNNNNNNNNNNNNNNNNNNNNNNNNNNNNNNNNNNNNNNNNNNNNNNNNNNNNNNNNNNNNNNNNNNNNNNNNNNNNNNNNNNNNNNNNNNNNNNNNNNNNNNNNNNNNNNNNNNNNNNNNNNNNNNNNNNNNNNNNNNNNNNNNNNNNNNNNNNNNNNNNNNNNNNNNNNNNNNNNNNNNNNNNNNNNNNNNNNNNNNNNNNNNNNNNNNNNNNNNNNNNNNNNNNNNNNNNNNNNNNNNNNNNNNNNNNNNNNNNNNNNNNNNNNNNNNNNNNNNNNNNNNNNNNNNNNNNNNNNNNNNNNNNNNNNNNNNNNNNNNNNNNNNNNNNNNNNNNNNNNNNNNNNNNNNNNNNNNNNNNNNNNNNNNNNNNNNNNNNNNNNNNNNNNNNNNNNNNNNNNNNNNNNNNNNNNNNNNNNNNNNNNNNNNNNNNNNNNNNNNNNNNNNNUAACAGCUGCCAUCCUGAAAAAAUUCUGAAAAUGAUCCUGCAUAGCCUCUUUGAUUUCCCCUGGGGUAGUUAAGUCUCUUCCCUGAUAACUUAACUGGGUAAUAUUUUUUUUUUACUAUUCUUGCCUUACAGAUGCGAUGAAAGUACUUUGUAUUCCGAUCACCCUCCUUCAACCACUGCACCCUUGAUUUCUGACGCCAAGUUCUUACUGCGCCCCCCCUUGCUCCUCCAUUGCCCCCACACUUCCUGCAAUCUAUUCUCUAAACAAACAAUUUUUUCCACCCCCCAUGCCCCUUUCCCCUUGCGCCACUCUCUUAUUUUCCCCCUCAAACCCUUUGCGGACCUCCACCAAUUUUCGACCACCUCAUAAAAUCCAUCGUCAUCCACCCAAUGAUUAAAAUAGUGGAAAGGUUUAGGGCCAGAGUCAGGUUCACCAAACACCAAACCUACAACUCUAUGAUCAGAAACAUUCCAUGCAAAAACAGAUUGUGAAAUAUUCGAAAAAGAUAACAUCACCUCGUCAGACACGAGCCAUCUGUCCAAUCGACUCCAUAGGCCAUCGUUGCGACUUGAGUACCACGUGUACUUGCCAUUUAGCAGGGGUAGGUCUGAUAAGUUAGUAUCAGUGGCAAAUUGUUGAAAAACCACAUCGCCUACAUCAAGAACUCCUUCUGAAGACCGCUCCGAUCCUAGUAGAACAGCGUUAAAAUCGCCCCCAAGAAACAUCAUACCUGUAUGACUUAGCACAUGCACUUUCAAGGCCUCAAAACAUACUCUACGUUCCGGCAAAGAAUGGGGACCAUAAACAUUCCCCACUAGAACUGGGUGUUCAUAAUUUGGAACUUUUACAGACAAAAAAAUAAAAUUAGUGUAUGUCACCAUUGACUGAACUUGAAAACUGCUUUCCUUCCACAGACACAUUAGGCCACCUGCUGCUCCCGCUGACUGAACCUCGACAUGAUUCAUCUGCAAACUUUGCGUCCACUGUUCAACUGUUCGUUGCCUCUGCUCAUUCAAUUUUGUUUCUUGUAAUAGAAUCAAUUCUGGUUUCAAUUGUUGAAGUGCUUUUUUGACAGCCUCUCUUUUCGUAGUUCCGCCUAGCCCAGGCACAUUCCAUGUGAGCCAAGGCCCCGACAUAUCAAUUGAGGUGAGGGUGAUUUUCACGGAUUUGAGCUUCUAAACCUCUCAGCAUCAAAGCUUCUGAUCCGCGUGGUUUUAGUCCCAACUCCUUUCCUAUCAACCAUGCUCUCUGCGAACGCGUUGUCACCCCAUCUUCACCUGGAAUUGGUUCUAGAAAAUCAUUCGGCAAUGCUAUGGGUUUAUUCUUAAUUUCUUUUGGACGCCCCCUUUGCGAACUUUUUUGAGAUGAAUGUGUAUUUGGAGAAUUGAGGGGAGUCGGAGCGCUUGAUACUGUGGGUAUGACCGACAAGGAUUUCUUUGGCGUCUGUGGUUCCUUGUUCUCACGUGACAGCAACUUACUUGAUGUGGGGGAAGAAACUUGCCGAACAAUUUGAUGAGAAGAGGUUCUGAUGAAGGUUUCACGUGUUACGUGAGUUUCAUCCUCUAGUGCAGAAGUUGGCGGGNNNNNNNNNNNNNNNNNNNNNNNNNNNNNNNNNNNNNNNNNNNNNNNNNNNNNNNNNNNNNNNNNNNNNNAGCGAGAUAUAUAUAUAUAUAUAUAUAUAUAUAUAUAUAGAGGAUGUAUCUAGUGAGAGAGAGAUUUCUUAUGUGAGAGUGAGAUGAUUGAUUUUCUACCCUUAGAUCAAAAUCAAUGGCUUAGAUUAUAACACUUAAACUUUACACACUGACAGUGCAGUGUAAAAUUUUUUUCACCGUCAACCAAUCAGUUUUCAAGGAUGUGAGAAAAUCUCUCUUUUUAUUUAAUUUCAUUAAUUGACGUGGCACAUCAUUGAAAUCUGAUUGGUUGACGGUGUCGGUGCAUCAUCAUUUUUCUCUUUUAUUUUUCAAAAUUUAGUUGUUAUAAGCGCUACCUGAAUGAAAUAAUAUUCAUUCACAGUCUUCAACGGCUAGUUUCCAUAUCAAAGUGACCGUUUGAGAGCAUCGUCUCAAAAAUUCAAAACCAGGAAAACAAACAACACAGACACACCACCAAGAGUUGAGUUCUUUUCUAAGCUAGAAAUUCUAACAGACACAUCCAAUUCAACAAUCCGAAGAUUCAGAAAAAAAUGGUGUACUCAAACUACACACCAACCUACUACUCAACACUCCAUGACUCAAUCACCUCACUCUGCAAGACCCUUCUCCCUUUCAGCUUCAAGAAACGAUCAUUGCUCUCAGCAGAGCAAAGGUUGUCGAAGCUGCAAUCCGACAACCUCAAAUGGCAGCAGGAGUCUUUCCACCAGAUUUUGAACUUGAUGGGUCUUCACGAAGAAGGCAUUGUGGCUGAAACUGAGGUUUCAGCUUUCAGAACCCACUUGCUCGAGACUCUCAUCGCUUCGCCUCCGGAACAAGAGCAUCCUGUUAUACUCAGAGACAAGCUUCUGUUUCUGCAGGAGCUUCUGUAUGCAAAGUGUGUUUCUGAAGAAGAGUAUCAUUCUUCUAAGAGACCUUUGCUUCAGAGAUUGGCUGUUCAAGGUGCUCAGAUUGAGGCUAAGGAUGUGAUCGUUGGUGUGAGGGCAGUGAGGCCUAGAGAGAUUUCGGAGGAAGAGUGGUCGGUUAUUGAUUUGAAGGAUGAUAAGGGAUUGAAGAUGAACAAGGAGAAUUUGAAUUGUAAGGGAAAAUCGAAUCAGGGGUCGGGUUUGAAGCAGAUUAAAGGGGCAGCCUCGGUUUUCGGCUUUGUUUCUCCUCACAAACCUGGGAAAAAUGGGGUGGAGAAGAGUGCUUUUGAAUCACCUUCUUUGCAAUUGAGGCAAUCCAGUGAAAACCCUUUUUGGAAUGCUGAGCCUAAUGGCAAUAAAAGUGAAGGUACAACAAUUCUCAUGGAGGAAAGUGGGCCCCCGGAAGCUGUGAAGGAAACCGGUGGCUCGGAGAAGUUGAAGAGGAAGCCAUUUAGGACUUUAUUUCACAGGGAGCAGAGGGAGGGAGUUGGUGGUGGAAGUGGUGGUGGUGGUCCUGAGCCAGAGCAAAGAGCAGGGAAACCAGUGAAGAAGCAAUGGGGGUUUGAUGGGUUCAAGAGAUGGAAGAGAAAUGAGGCAGAUGAUGAGACUGCUCCAUUGCCUCUGAAUGAGAGGUCUGAUAGUGGGGGACACUCAGCUUCCUCCCAGUCUCUUGCAAGAGUUCAUGGAGAGGGACCAGACACCAAGUUGUUGAAGAAGAAGUUACAUUCUGAUGGUUCUCCAUCUGAUUUCUUCAUAGAUAAGGUUUUAGAUCCUUCAUCCAUCAUCUCUUUCUAUAUUUCAAUCUAAUUUCCUUUUGAAAUUGAGCUAAUUUUUGGACAUGUUAAACAAAAUUCUUGUUCACUGUGAAUAGGUUUUGGGAGACAAGAUAAAGAAGGAGCUGACAAGAAUCCAGACAGAACUUAGCAGCACAAACCCAAAUCUUAAAUUCUCGUAAUUACUUUCCUUGCAUUUGGAAAACUGAUAUUAGUUAGUGCAUGUUUGGAUACACUAUGGAAAAUAGCUGUAAAACUAAGAUCACGGUGAACAGUCACAAAAGCUAAGGGAAAUUACUUCCAUCCAUAGUGAUUUUAGCUCACCAUGUAUCCAAACACGCACUUAGUUCUUUGCUUAGAAAUGUUACUUACUUUUGGCUGCAUUUGUUGUGAUAUCAGGAAUGAUCAGAUGGAAGCAAUUUCUACUAGAAUUCCAGUGGACAAGGCUGAUUUGAAAAAUUACUUUCCUAAGUGAGUCAACAUAACCCCACUUUUCAUGUUUCAAUUUUGGAUCACUUGACACUUUAUACAGUCUGAGAUCAGAGGAUUAGUGUUACUUACUGUGUACUUUCUUGUGUUUCUUUUGUGUGUUGAAGAUCAUGGUGUGACAGAUACGGUGAUGUGGUGCUGGACGUGGUGAAGAAGGAAUUCAAAAACCAUGUAGGAGAGAUGGAGAACAUGCGCAAUGUUGCUAGAGAAAAACAUGGCAGCAACUCAAGGCGGUGGACAACAUCUGAGGAUGAUGAAAAUAUUCAUCCAAAUCUUUUUGUUCAUCAUGAUAAUUCAGCUCGCAGCAGUAACAUCAAUCCAUUUUCUCAUGGUUAUGGAGAGAGCAAGUGGAACUAGAUUAAGCUGAAGUCUGAAUCAGCUUCUCUAGGAAAUCCAUAUGCAGUAAAGUAUUUGUUGUUAUAUUGUUAAGGCAAGCAAAGAGACUUGUAAGUACUGUCUAGAUCUUCAUUGACAAUCUUACUUUGAUGGUAUUAGUCUUUUUCACAGUUCUAUCAACUAUCAAGCAUUUCUAGUGCUAAGCCAUUUUUUUUCACCUUACAAUUUUAAAUGCAUAAUUUGAUUGUCUGUUUUAUUCCUUUCGUUGAAAUUUAUUUUCCUUGCAACAUUGCCAAAUCAAAAAAAUUUUAGUUUGAUGUUUCCUAGAUGGGAGUCUGAAGAACAAAUACUAUAGAUCCAAACAAGUUUCAUCAUAAAAUGGAUUCUUGCAUAGAGCACAAGCUCAUGAUAUAACUACUGUACUUGAACCGUGCUUGGAUGAUAGAUAAUGAAGGGAACAAAAGCAAUAAUGAGAAGAAAAACAAUUUCUUAUUUGGAAAUUAACAAUGUACAAGAGGCGAAUAGAACUUGAGAGGAACCAUUCCCAAUCAAUUCCCCCCCAAGACCAUGUUACAUGUUUGUUUCUCAGUUAAACACCAACAAAAGGCUAAAGUCCCUUUCAUGUUGGGGGCCAUGAGAAUUCAGGAUUUAGAAUUUCAAAGCUCCAAACUGUGGAUUUAAACUUAAAAACAAACAUGCAUUUUCUAUGUUGGGGUGAAAUGGGGAGGAAACAAAGAUUUUGCACCAUUUCUUAACUAUAUUCCUAAUCUAUCUUUCUUUCUUUUUUCCCCGUUUCCUUUGUAGUCAAUCCCCUCUUGUUUUGGUUGAUGAAAAAACAUCCCAACACAGUUUAAAUAUAAGGGUUUAUAGAUAUGAUUGCCAAGGCCCAAGGGUGACAUUGAUUUUAGACUAAAAUACACUUCAAACCAAUUUAGUCUUUCAAAUAAUUGUGAUCUCCAAUUAGUUCUUUGAAAAUUUAAAGCGACGACAAAAUAAUCCUUCCAUCCAAUUUGAUGUGACAUCAAUUCGAACCGUAUUGAUGAUAAAAAUAUUUGAAGGAUCAAAUUGAUGUUAGGUGUAUCUUUAGAUGACCCAGAUGGUACUUUAGUCUAUAGUUGAAUAUUUACAUCUAUGUACACAAUAUCAUUGAGACUGCACUACUGAGUAGGUAGCAGACAACUCUCCACAAACAUUGCCACGACAAAGAGGGCACACACUGUAAAAGAGGGAAGCAGAAAAAAAUGGUUAUUUAUGUAAUGGAAAUUGAUAGAUAUGAAAAGAAUGAACGAUUUUUGGUUACAGUGACAAUACCCAUGUAUUUCCUUAAGCCACUUGUCAACACACAACUUGUGGUACUCAUGGUUGCAAGGAAGAACUCGUAUUUGGUCCCCUUCUUCAUACUCAGCCAGGCAUAUGUGACAUCUACAAAAUUCAUUUAUUAAAUUUUGAUAAUAGUGGGAGAAGGAAGAACUUUUCAAGCAUUCAAAACCAACAAAAAAAAAGUAUCAUAACCACACUGACAGACUACAUAAGUGAAAAACUAGUUAGGCUAUGCUUGGAUUACACGUUGACACUUGUGCACACGGACGCUAGUACUCACUUCGAAACAAAAAGUGAAUGGAACUUUCUUUUGGAUUGAGAUGAAACUCAUGAAAGUUCAUUCACAUUACACUCGACUAGUAUCCAAACACACACUUAACUAUGGCCAUACUACCACAUAUAUUAUUCAUCCAAACAUAUUUGCUUAAGAUAAUAGGGAUCUAAAGGCUUACUGUUCAGCAUCAUUGUCUCCAUUAGCUGCAUCGCCCUUUUUGUGAGACUUCAGAGGGAAGGAGUCAACAAUUGAUUCAGGUGCGGGGAGUGAGACCAUGGAUAGGGAAAGUGAUCCAGGUUGCCGAUGGAUUUCAUCUAAAACCUGCAGAGGAAAAAUAUGCUGCCCUAUGUAAAUUGCUUUCGGCAUUUCAGUUCUCAUAAUCCAAUAGUAAAGUAUAGAACCAUUUUUGGCCAGAUAAUUAUACCUAAAGACGGAUAUCUCAGGUAACCAGAAAAUAAUAGGUUCAAAUCAAUUAUGAUUCAUCAUGGAAAACACUGUUCUUUAAGCUCAAAGCAUCUGUGUACCGAGCAUAAUAACACAUGCCUACCACCAUUCAUGACCUGAAGAGCCUUCAGUUACAGGAACUGGCUUCCAUUUAAGGUACUAUUUUUUUUUUGAAAGACAAACCAAGCUAGAUUUUACAUCUAAGUGAAUGAAAUGAAAUUAUUACACAAAAAAGUACUGCAGACAAUUGAAAAGGAGGGAUCUGGUUCAGAAUAUGAAGACCACCUUACAAGGGUGAGCCUGUGACUCUGAGUAUUAUGAUAUACCCAAUCAAGCUGUGGUGGGCAUGAUGACAAGAACUCAAACAUACUUUAAAAUACAGAACAUAAUAACAUUCUGAAUAAUUUGAUCAUAUUGGACAUUUCAUUAUAUUCAUUCUUAAUUUACCGAGUAGUGAGAGGUGCAACCCGCCCCCCUUUGAAAAGUCGCCAAUGCAAAGCUAGAUUGAAAUGAUGUACUUCUAAUAAAAUAAAAUAAAACACCAGAUGACACCCAAAUGCUACAAGACAUCUGCAGACCUACUGCAAGAGGAAUAAAGAACUGUUUUUCACUACAGAGAAACUGCACAAUAGAAGCAGUCCAAUAUUAGAUUGUCAAAGACCUAACUUUUAAUUAUGAAAUUCAAAAUUAGAUAAUCUCAAUCAUCAGGAAGUUAUGAUAUCGUAGAAAAGAGGCCAAAAAGAAGAAAAUCAAAUGCAUGAGAGCAUCCUGAAAUGCUCUUAUGCAGUAAGCACACUGCCCUAUCAACGGUAUCAGAUUGAACUGCCAAUCAGCAAGUACCAUGUUUAAACCAAACGCAGAAAUUUAGAGAUAAAAUUAAAAUUCAUAGAGCAGGAAACACAAGGGAUAAGGAUGGAUGGAAAACUCAAUUUAAUUAAAUCUAGGAGAAAAAAAAAAGACACUGGAGAGAAGGUUCAAACCUCAAACAGAGCCUCAGCCAGCAUGACUAUUCUUGAAAUGCUUGCUCGAGUGCUAGAUUCCUCAGCCAUUGGGAAAGACUCGCAUGAGCACAUACCAUCAGCAUGGAGUCCUAAUGGACAUGAAGAAUUCAACCGACCAAUCUCAUCAAGGCCACCACGAAGCCUUUCCCAAAUCUAUAUAAAGAAAUGUAAACAGCUUAUGUUACAUGAAAGGGAUCACAAGCCCAUUUAAUAAAUGCAAGUAGGUGACAUAAACAAUUUAAAGCAUUCUAUACUCCAAAUAUUCAGAAUCACCUCAGAUCUUGGGUGCCGCAUUCGUUCACUCGAUCUAUGAGUUCUACGACCAGGAUUUCCAGCAUCAUCCCCAACCCUAUCAUUUGGUAAAUCACCGCUAAAAUCAAUGAGCCAUCGAUCUUGAGAUCCUGUAUCAUCAGCACCUCCACUGGAGAAGACAAUGGUCGGAGAAUCACCAAGCCUUCCAGAGCUACGUCGUGAAAAAGCAUCCCAAAAUAAUCUUCUACCAUUUCUUCUGGAAUCAUGAUCAUUGGCAUCUGCAUUGCUUGCUGACAAAAUGUUGGAAGAUAUUGUGACCACGUCAACUUGAAUCACGCUAUCAUCUCCCUGCCCUGUUUCCCGAUUGGACACAAGAAAACCUAAACCUGAAGGUAUUGCCUCGCGAAGAGGUUCAUCUUCUGGCACUUGAGAAAUUGCCAUUAUAUUGGAAACUUGAGCAACAGGAUUGGAAGGAGCACUCUGGAUAGAUGUGAAUGCACCAGUGUGAUUCUCAACAGAAAUUUCAUCAGAACUGGUAUUUCCACGCUCUUGAGGGGUUGAACUCCUUGGAUACAUCGUGUCACGAGAGGUUUGACAGAUACCACUAAACACUGGAUCAUCAACAUUAUUGACUGCAUCCUUGUUAGCAGAAACACUUAUAGAAACUGGAUCUGAAGACUGAUGUUCAACAGAUGAAGUACUAGCUGUGUUGCUACUAUCACUAUAUGAUUCAUGACGACUAUUAUCGGCGCUUACCUGAUAAGGAGGAACUAGCUCCUGACGUUCAGACAAACACUUCCUCUGACUAUUUGCUGCAACAUUUCUGGAAGAACCUUCAACGGUUUUAUCACCACAGAACUCAACUCCCAUAUCAGAUGAGGUUGAAGUUUCAGCACGGGGACAAUAGCUAGUUCUAGCUUCUGUACAUGAUAAAGACGAUUCCUCAGAGGCUGCUUUCUGAAUUUCAUCAUCAAAAUCUCUUGCCGAACCAACCUGAAGCUCAGAUGGACGUUCUUCCAUCUAAAAACACAAUGUAAGAAUGUAAUUUCCUGUAUCAGUCACUCCCAGUAUCUAUUUAACGGCUAUCCAGCAUCCACAAAUUAUCGCUUGUGUGAGACCAGAUAAAAUGGCUUGUGGAUAAAUUUUCAAGUCAUACAUACUCAUGCAUUCAGUUUUCCUUGAAACAAUACUCAACAAGUUAAGAACAAAUACGAUUUUCCAAAUUCACCCUUGAAUAGAUGCUGAGAUGCAUAAACUUAUUAGGAUCAACAUGACUCUAAAACUUAAAGAAGUUCAUCAAAUCAUUGGAAAGUAAAGGAGUGCCAAUGAAGAAAAAAGUUAAAAUAAAAAAACUAGUAACGAGUGAAACUUUAAUCUUUCAAGACCGAAGAGACUUGAACCGUUCCAUGAAUCAAUCACCUAGUGAAUACAAUAAAAUAAUAAAACAAGCUAAAUCCAAAUUUGUGAUAAAGAAUUAUACCACACUACCACAGGCACCAGCAGAUAAUUUCAUAGAUUAGUUAGGCUCAUAUGCGUCAAACCGUAUUAAUCAACUAGCAAACUAUCAGAUUCCUAUGAUAAUCAAUAGAACCUACAAACUAUAAUUAUAUAACCAAGCUCACAAUAUUCUCACACAAUCAAUUUUUUUUUUCAAAUGAUGUAAUCAAUCAGCUAACAAAAAAGCCAAAUACUAUCAGUCUAUCACAAAAAUUGCUUUAUCUAUAUAAGUCAAGCACAAUUGAUUGGACUUUUAGCAAAUCAAUUUUAUACUUACAUCCCCAAAAACAAAAGCUACCCAAUUCAAAAGUAAAUCGAAUGGACCAACCCAGAUGAUAAAAAUCAAACUUUCGAAAUGAAAAAGCGUAAAAACGAAAUGGGUAUUAAGAAAAUCGGGUACCUGAGGAGUUGUAGAGCGGGAAGCGGAGGAUCCACAGAGAAGAGAGGAUAGUCUGAAGCGGUUGUUGUUGACCCGAGGAGGAGAAGAGCGAGACCCGAGACGACUAGAAGAAGAACCCAUGUCUAAGAGAAGAAGAUGAGAGGUACAGAAGAGCUAGCUAGCUUGGUAGUAGCAGCAGCAAGAUGUGGAUGGUUGCUUAUUCUUCGAUGAUGAUAAUCGAAAGCUGACCAACUUGGAGCUUUUCUUCAAUUUCAAUUAUUUCUCAACUUUCUUUCUUACACAUCAGGCAAAGCAAACACACUAUACUUUCGAGUGCCGAUCGCAGUGUUAAAAAUUGACUGUUUAUAUCUAGGUCGAAAGCUCAAUUUUUAGGUAUUACAUUUUCGAAAACGUUUGACUUUCACGACCGAAAUUAUGACAACAAUUUAAUAUACCAAAAAACAAGACACUUUAGGUUUAGGGUUAAUGGUUAAAUUAUUCUCUGAAUUUCUAAGGAUUUGAUUUUAGUCUUUUUUUAAGUAAAAAUAACGCUUCGUGACGGUAAAAAAUUGUCAAUAAUUAUAAAAGUGGCUGUCACUAAACGUAAGUUUUUCUUAGAAUGACUAAAAUUAAAUUUCCUUACAAAGUCAAUAACAAAAUCUAGGGUGAGUGAAUGUUGCCAUGAUUUAAGGUAGGAAAAACCUUUCAUAUGAAAUAAGUGUGGGCUUGAACCUAUCACUUGUAAGACAUGCGAUGUUAUCAUGCUCCACUUGAAAUGUGUUUUUUUUUUUUUUUGUCAUUUUUGUUUUCUUUUGCAUAAGGUUUUGAAUGUGGUGGGUAAAUUGAGCAUAAUUAUUGGCUAAUUGCCAAUCUAGUCAAAACACAAAAUGUUAGCCUUCAGAACACCACUUCCUUUGCGUGAAAAGAGACAUUGUUGUGUACGUUACACCAUGGACUGUUUUUCACCAAUGUUAUGGGUGAAAUUCUCUGCCCUAUUCACACAUGUACGAUUAUAAUUUGGUAAAUUCUAUGGUACCCUCAAAUUUUUUUUGGGUAUGGUACCUCAUUAAUAAUUCUAUAAAUUAUUAUCAUGUUAUUCAAGGUAAAUACUACAUCAUUAGAGCAUCUCCAAUGGAGUCCUUAUUUUGGGACCUUAAAAUAAAAUCUGGAUCUUAUUAGAUCUCACCAUUAGAGCUAUCCUACAUGGCAUGAGAUCUUAGCAAAAGCUAAGAUCCGUGCCUUAGCUCAGGUACUCUCAAAUGUGGGAUCUUAAAUAAAAUAAUAUUUUUUUCUCUCUCCUUCAAUACCAUAACCAAAGUGAAAAUUAGGGAGAGAAAUAAAUAAUAUAAAUAUAUUGGGUACUGUGGGUCUAGUCAAAAGUAAAAUAAUAUCCCAACCACUAGAGUGAAAUAUGCAUGAAGACCUUAUGGGUGUCUUAAAUCCUAUGUGGCAAUUUGGGCCCACAAAAAUUGAGUUAAGUCCCAAAAUAAGUUCCUACCAUUGGAGAUGCUCUUAGAUUUUAAUUUACUUGUCAAUUAACUUUAUCUCAUGAAAAGAAAACACAACUUUCAAAUCUCACGUCCCUAAGAAUGGAACGUUGCAUUACUACGAUAGAACACAAUCAAAAUUUUAACCGGUACAUGUGUCUUUAUUAUUAAAAUCGACUCAUUUUGGGUAUCACACCUUAGUCUGGCUUAAGGUACCAUAGCAAGCACCUUAUGAUUUAUAAGUAUCAUACUCAUGUGAUCUACUAAAUAUAAUUCCAUUGGUGAAUGAUAGAAUAAUUUUGUAAAUAAUUUUAGGAUCUUUGUGUACCUUUAAUAUUAGUAGUCAGUAACAUAAUAAUUUUGGUCAUAGUAGUCUAGUUGACCUUCCUUGUUUGUAAUGUGUUACUCUUGUAUAUUCGAUCUUAUGAUUGAAUGAAAUAAACACGAAACAUUUUCUUUCAGUGAGAUCAAGAAUAACAUACUAUUUCAAAAAAAAAAGAAUAAGAUAUCAAGUGUGGACAAAAGAUUUUCAUCCAUAAGAUACGACGUUAAAUGUGAUUAUUUUUUCCACAUAUUUCAUCUUUACUUUUUCUUCAAUGCUUUAUUUCAGGACUCAACCCUCUUUGUCGGAACUUCCGAAGGCCAAUGACAAACCAAACACCCAUCGUCAUAAACCAAAACUAGGAAAACUAAAAUGAAUUACAUUCUGGACAAUUUUUCACGUACAAAUUCUCAUCUAACACAUUCAUUUAAAAUUAAAGGAAAGAAAAGUAUGUUUUUUAUUUUCCUUAUGGUUCUUCCUAAUCAAACAAGGAGUGUGUUUGAUUUUCUAUUUGGAAACUCAUAAUCAAUAUUGGUAGUGUAGGAUUAAUUAUAAAUAAAAGUUUGAUGCUUAUGAGAUAUUUUGGAGAAUUAAUUUUAAAUUCAAAAUAAUUCUUGUAGAUGCUAGAGAAUAACUUUUACAUUGAAAUAAUCAAUUGCGAGAUUAUGAUUUACCUCAUCAACAUGAAUCACUUUUUCAUAAAUGUAUUCAAAUAUAAACCUCUUUGUCCUCGAAUGAUGACUCAAGUGGUAAAAACAUGGGGACAUAUGGUUUGGAGAAAAGGUCUAAAGAUCGAUCUCUAGAGGGUGCAAUUUAUUUUUCCAAUGUAAAAGAAAAUAUAAGUCACUUAAUUUUUAACUGAUUUCUACUAUAAAUAAUCAAUUUUAUGAAAAUCAAAUUUAUCUAUAAACCUGAUCCAAACAUGCACGAAUUUUUUUUUUUUUGAAAGUGAUUUUAUAAAAAUUAGGCAUCAGGAGGCAUAGAAGCCAAAACAUCCUGAGCCACCACAUGGAAAACACAAUCCGGAACUUCGUCCACCCACACCAUAUCAGCGUAAGUAGAGGCGUUCCUAGCCAAACAGUCAGCAGCUGCGUUACCAGAACGUCUUACAAAAGAUAAAGUAAAAACAUCAAAACCAGAAAUUAAAAAACGACAUUCACGAACAGUCGUAGCUAGGAACGAAACACCCUCCCUACGAGAUUUCCACCAAUUGAAAAGUUGUAAGCAAUCAGUCUGGAAUUCAACCCUCCGGAAACCCAACUCAAUAGCCAACCGAAGAGCCCAUCGGAAACAACCCGCUUCCGCCAAGAGAGGGGAAAGAGAUGCCACGGGAUACGCCGUCGCCGAGGCCAAAAUUUCCCUUUCAAAGUUUCGCGCCACCAUACCAUAGCGACGGUUGUCCCUCAACAAAAGUGGCAUCAAAAUUGAUCAUAAACACACCUCGACCUGGCAUUCUCCACGUUGUGUGCUGAACAGUGCGAGAGGGUGGGGCUGGCGUGUCCACUCGCGAGGGAGGCAGCCGCCUUUGCAAGCCUGUUCCUAGCUUCCCAAAGAGCGUAACAUAAGGUCUGGACCAUCCCAAUAAAAUCUGCAUCCCCAUCAUGAAGCACCGCCACCCAUAAGUCUAUUAAACCCGUGAACUGGUCUGUCCUCAAAGUUAAAGGAGAGCAAAACCAGAACAUUUUGGCAAUUGUACAAGAGAGGAAAACAUGCUCCAAAGUCUCAUUUUCUUGACAGCACCACACGCACUGCUCAUCUACUUCCAUAUGUCUCCACUUCAGUNNNNNNNNNNNNNNNNNNNNNNNNNNNNNNNNNNNNNNNNNNNNNNNNNNNNNNNNNNNNNNNNNNNNNNNNNNNNNNNNNNNNNNNNNNNNNNNNNNNNNNNNNNNNNNNNNNNNNNNNNNNNNNNNNNNNNNNNNNNNNNNNNNNNNNNNNNNNNNNNNNNNNNNNNNNNNNNNNNNNNNNNNNNNNNNNNNNNNNNNNNNNNNNNNNNNNNNNNNNNNNNNNNNNNNNNNNNNNNNNNNNNNNNNNNNNNNNNNNNNNNNNNNNNNNNNNNNNNNNNNNNNNNNNNNNNNNNNNNNNNNNNNNNNNNNNNNNNNNNNNNNNNNNNNNNNNNNNNNNNNNNNNNNNNNNNNNNNNNNNNNNNNNNNNNNNNNNNNNNNNNNNNNNNNNNNNNNNNNNNNNNNNNNNNNNNNNNNNNNNNNNNNNNNNNNNNNNNNNNNNNNNNNNNNNNNNNNNNNNNNNNNNNNNNNNNNNNNNNNNNNNNNNNNNNNNNNNNNNNNNNNNNNNNNNNNNNNNNNNNNNNNNNNNNNNNNNNNNNNNNNNNNNNNNNNNNNNNNNNNNNNNNNNNNNNNNNNNNNNNNNNNNNNNNNNNNNNNNNNNNNNNNNNNNNNNNNNNNNNNNNNNNNNNNNNNNNNNNNNNNNNNNNNNNNNNNNNNNNNNNNNNNNNNNNNNNNNNNNNNNNNNNNNNNNNNNNNNNNNNNNNNNNNNNNNNNNNNNNNNNNNNNNNNNNNNNNNNNNNNNNNNNNNNNNNNNNNNNNNNNNNNNNNNNNNNNNNNNNNNNNNNNNNNNNNNNNNNNNNNNNNNNNNNNNNNNNNNNNNNNNNNNNNNNNNNNNNNNNNNNNNNNNNNNNNNNNNNNNNNNNNNNNNNNNNNNNNNNNNNNNNNNNNNNNNNNNNNNNNNNNNNNNNNNNNNNNNNNNNNNNNNNNNNNNNNNNNNNNNNNNNNNNNNNNNNNNNNNNNNNNNNNNNNNNNNNNNNNNNNNNNNNNNNNNNNNNNNNNNNCCUUCAUCAUCACCACUAUUUUGCACUUUCUAUUGUCAGUUUGAACAUUGCAUUUACACUUUGUUUGUUUACACAUGAAUUGUGCAAAGAGAAAAUCCACAUGUAUAGGUAGGGAAGAGAGAUAGGCACCAACUGCAUUUGGUUUCAUAGUGGAGAAAAGGAGAAGAGAGGAAGCAUGUGGAACAGAACUUGUUUUGUAGUCUUCUCAUAAUAUAUGAGAAGAGAACCGAUAAAGUGAGCCUUUUUGUUUUUCUCACUUUUAACAAUUUCAAACUUCGAACGAUUUAUUUAUUACUGAUUUUUAAUAUUUAAUAAUUAAGCUAAACAUGUCAUUUUAUAUGAAGAGAAAAAGGAGAAUCUACCCAUUUUUUGUUCUCUUUCUUUCUUCUUUAUUUCUAUUUACCAAUUUUUUUAUAAAAUCUACUUUUUUUUCUCACUAUUUUCUCUCUACUUAUCUUCUCACUUACUCUACUCAUUAUCUGUUCUAAACCAAACAAAAUAUUAAUGUGGAAUUUAUGUUAGAAAGACCAAACUUUUUAGAAAAAUAUUAGAUGAACUCAUGAAUUUCAGGGACAUAUGAGUUAGUGACGAUUUUUAACUGCCACUAAAGUUAGCAACAUCUAAAAACCGUCACUAACGCAUAUGUUUUUUUAUAUCCACUUAAAUCUUUAUGUACACACAUAAUCACCUAAUUUUUAAGGCGGAUGCCAUUAACACAAUGAGCAUUGAUGCACUCAUGUGGCAUUAGUAAUGGUAAUUGUUUCGGAAAUAAUACUCAGGUAUAUAAAUAGUGCAGACGCCCAUUUUUAUCUCUCAACAUAUCCCUUUUGUCAUUACAUCUAUUACGUAUCUUUUCUUGUCUUCCUUUCUCAUAUUAAAUGUUUCUUGACACUAUGUAGAUGUAUCAUUUUCCCACUUCCUUAAACAUAGAAAACAACAAUGAAAAAAUGCUUAGGUGGGAAGCUGAAAGAAAGAAUCAUCAUGCAAAGUGCAUGAACAAGGUGAGGUGGCCUUUUUUUUCGGAGGAAGGGCUACGUGUGUUGAUGGCUUUCAAACAAAUGCAUGUGAGGGAGAGCCUCGCCCCACUCUUCAACCGUGAAAACUCAUGCCUUUUAGCUACCAAGACACCACUUUCACAAUUCAUUCUUGCACUCGCCAGCUCUAGAGAAUGAAAAUGUGAGAGGAGAAGAUUUUGAGAACUUUGCAUGCUUAUGUUAGAGUUUGAUUUUGGUUUCAAGCUGCAAGGCAAAAGUGAAGCUUGCAAGAAGAGCAAACCAAUGAGCUAGGUUCAUAAUUAAUAAGGUAUGUUUGGUGUGGUUGUAGCUAGAUAAAGGAGGGGAAAGUCUCAGGUUGGAAAAUUUGUCAGCAUUUUUAAGAUGAUAAAAUGUCUUCAUAUAAAUUGCUCAAGCUAUAUACCCAAGAUAUAUAACCCUCCAGUUUGUCAAUUUUAUGUGAUGAUGAUUUCUGCAUAUAAAUGAUCACUCUGCAUGUUUUGUUUCCUGUUCUACACUUAAGGAUGGAAAAGCUUCAAAAUGUAGGAUUGCAUGUGCCAUGUUUGUAUGCAAUUCACCUUGUAUGUGGCUGUUUUUCUUGGUGAUGCUAAAUUAAGGGACUAACUACAUGUUUGGAUGCAAAGCAAAGAGUACUUAUUGGAGCUUAUUUAUUGCAAUUUCUAGCAAAAUAUCAUGAUUUAUCGUGUCUUCAAUAAUUGCAUUGUGAAUUUUGAUCUAUUUUGCUAUUAACUUCUGUUCCUGAAUUCCAUACCAAUUUCGUGAUGGAAUAUGCAAAAUCUGAUGCUUACAUACAUAAUACAUUGAUACGUAUAUGGAAGACAUAAUGAGUUGCUUUCUGUGUUUAGCCGUGUUUAAAUUGUACACAUGGUUAUGGAAGGCAAUCAAAUAGCUCAAUUUACAAAAGAGGUGCAUGUUUCUUGUGUCCGGUGGCAACCAGAAAGAACCUCCAUUUUGUGCUGAUGCAGCUAGCAUAUUCUACACUUGAAUGAUGAAACUUGUUACCAACAAAUCAUGACACACUUGAUAGAUAGCGGAUAGGGUCCUUUAAGCAUGCUGACAAUGGUUCGAAUCUCGACCUGACCGUGUAUAUGAAAAAUGAUUUAUUGGGAGAGUCAAAACUCGUUUCGAUGAUCUUUAUCUCUCAAAAGAGAUUCUGACUUUUGUCUCAGAACACCCUUUGUGCACAAAGGAAAUAUUGUAUUUCUGUAAAACAAAAACGAAAAAUCGGAUUUGAUUCUUUUAUUCAGUCAAACAAAAGGAAAGAAAAACUUGACCAAUUAAAUUAGCAGCCACUUUCGUUGAGAAGUAAAACUGAAAUUGUGAUUAUCAUUGUACAAGUUUCAAUGGUGAUUGUAUUUCAAAAUUAAACGUUAUUGAAGAAAUUAAGUUCAUAUUAUUAUAUUCAUUUUCAAAGAUCCUGCUACAGAAGCAACCUUUUAUCUUAACAAACACACUUUUGCAACUUUACACCUCUUGAUCCUCCAUUCCUCCUGGUCUUUCUCUUGCUUCCUUCAAUUCAUCUACAUUACUUUCAUAGCAUUUCUUCUUCAUACUCUCUUCGCAAGCCAUACGCAUCAUUGAUUGUUUCCUUUCUGGUAAUUAACUAAUAGCUUCAGGUGUUCUUUCAUCCAGUGCAUUUUGUUUUUUCUGUCAUUGUUCUGAAUCCUUCAGCUUUAUAUUUUCAAUGAACCAUGGCUUCAUGAUCAUUGAAACACAUCUGACAUUAAUAUGUUGUAAUGUUUUGCUUUGAAAUUCUCAAAAUUCACUAGCAUGGAACAAAUUUUGCAAUCAAGUACCAUAACAUAGCUAUGUUUUUCACAAAUGCACCCCCUUUUUUUUGCAAAAGCCCUGAAGUUCUAAAAAUUGAGAAUCAAAAUGAAUUCCCAUAUAAAUUUUAGUAGGUUCAAGUUGUAAUGAAACUUAGUGUAGGUUUGGAUGAACUCAAAGCCGAUCCACAUUUAAGUCGAUUAGGCAAAAUCUUACUUCUCUGUUUGGUAUAUGUAGGCGCAAACGAAGAACCAAACAGGCACUAAGUUUGUUCACUCUUCUUUGUCCAAGGUUCUCUUGUUGAAAUGGAGUAUGAUGACUGCUUCAAACAACAGGCUAAGAGAACAAAAUAUGAUUGCCUUCUUUUUGGUAAGUUUUGUAAUCAGGACAUUUUUCAAGUAACAAAUUGAAAAAAUUCAUAUUCGAGUAUGUUAUAUAACCAUUGAGAUUGUUCUACAGAUUUAGAUGAUACUUUGUAUCCCCUCAGUUCUGGUCUUGCAAAAGCAUGUCACCAAAAUAUUAAAGGUAAGCAACUAUGUCAUACUUGUGCCACAAUAUUCACAGUAAUUAAUGUCUUUUGUAAUUGCUGCUUUUUUGGGUAUUGACAUGAGUGAUAUCAUUAAUCUUAGCUUACAUGGUGGAGAAGCUUGGCAUAGCACCAAAGAAAACUGAUGAAUUGCCCAACCUCCUUUACAAUAACUAUGGAACUACUAUUGCUGGCCUAAGGGUCUGAUUAAUUACCUUGUAUUCCUUAUUAUUUCUAGCUAAAUAUGGUUUAGAUAUUAAGUUCUGAAAAUGCUGAUAACUUUUGUAAUUUGUUUUUCAUUUUCUAUUCAGGCAAUUGGAUAUGACUUUGACUAUGAUGAAUAUCACAGGUUCACUUUUUUAUUUUUUUCCCCAUCACAUUCUUAAUUAUGUUUUUAAUCAUGUGCAUGGUUUUAAAUCAAGGUCCGCCAUUGUGAUUUCGGCCGUAAUGUCAAGGUUUUGGAGGUUUCCGAAACCGCAAUGCGACCGUGAUUACGGCCGGGAAAAACAUUUGUUCACAAUUUUUCGCAAUACGAAGGACCGCAAGGAAACCUGAGUGUGACCGAUACCGCGACCACAAUUCAAAACCUUGCUCAUGUGUUUAUUCUGAAAUGGUGAUAAUGAUUUUUGAAUUUCUGCUUGCAGUUUUAUUCAUGGGAAAUUACCUUAUGAGAAUUUGAAACCAGACCUGGUUCUGAGGAACUUGUUGCUAAGCCUCCCCUAUAGGAAACAUGUAAGUUGUUUAUAACCAAAAUGGGAAUGCAUUUCUUUAUAAACAUGUAAGAGUGGGUUUGUUUUCCAAUUGAAAGCACGCUCAACUGGCAUAUUCGACUCUGCAGUUUUUUCAACUGACCAAAGUUGUUGGAUCGAGAAAAACCACAUUCACAUGCAGCUGUCCAAUGGAUAAACAAAUACACUAAGUCUUACUUUUCAUUUAAUAAGUACCAUUUUUGAAACUUCACCAAUAGCUUACUUCUCUUGUUUUCUGUCAAUAGCUCUUCACAAAUGCAGACAAAGUCCCUGCAAUUAAGGUACUCUGCAGGCUUUGGUUAGACUAUUGCUUCGAAGGAAUCACAUGCUUUGAGACCCUUAAUCCAAUUCACAAGAGCAUUGCUCUGGAUGAUGAAGAGAAUAACAUUGUGUUUGUUGGUUCAAAUGGUGCAAGCUGCUCUAAAAUCUUUGACAUCAUAGAGCACUUUGCUCAGCCUGAUCCUAGUGCAGACUUGCCAAACACACCAAUUAUAUCCAAGCCUUCACAGAAAGCCAUUGAAUUGGCUCUCAAGAUAGCCAACCUUAACCCACACAGAACCGUAACAAAAUCUCCCUUUGUGACUUUUUUAGUCAAAAUUUGUUCCCUUCUCCAAUAUUUUUUUUCGAUUUGCUUCCAUUUUUUAUUUUGUUUCACUAUUGUACUUUCAGUUGUUCUUUGAGGACAGUGUCCGCAACAUUCAAGCUGGAAAGCGCACGGGUCUUCACACUGUGCUGGUAAGUGUGUGUUUGGAUACUAGAUCAUGUGAAUGGAUUUUCAUCUCAAUUCAUAAGAAGAAUUUUGUCCAGUAGUUUCUGAUUGUCACAUUGUGCAGGUUGGUACAUCCCAGAGAGUGAAAGGUGCAGAUUAUGCCUUGGAAAGCAUUCACAACCUAAGUGAGGCACUGCCUGAACUAUGGGAGGUUGGGAUGAAAUCAGAAGUUGCAUGCCCUGAGAAGCCUGCUGUGGAGACAACAGUCACUGCUUGAGACCAUGAAAGGAAGCACUUCUAAUCACUGUAAAAUAGAAUAAAAAGGAUAAAGCCGACCUGGAUUCCCCAACUCCUUCAGAUGUAGUAACAAUAAUUGAUGUUGAUAUUUUGUUCAGUUUAUAAAAAACUCACUAUGUAAAAUAAAUUGUCCUUUUCUGUCUUUCUUUACAAAGAAUGCAUAUGAUAUGACUAGCUAGUUAAUUAGAAACUAAAACAAGAUCAUGUAUGAGAAGUGAAUGUCCAAUAUCUUGAAUUGUGAUCUUACAAUUAAAACUAUGAUAGGUCAAAAGAACCUAGUGGAAAAUAUUAGUUUUGAGGCGGGGCACAACAAAUCAAAUUGUUUGUGAGUAGUGAUGCUUUCACAAAUUGAUGCAAAUUGUAUACUCGGAUUCACUUCAUGCAUGUUUAAAUACACAUGGUGAAAAAUGACAAUGAAUUAAAAUUAUGGCAAGACAAAAAUAGUUUCUCUUAAUUUUUGUGAUUGUUCACCCAUCACCGUAAUUUCAUCGUAAUUUUCACCGUGUACUCAAUUUUUCACUGUAUAUCGGAAUCGGAACAUGUAUAUAUAAUUAUAUAUAGUGUUUAAAUAUCUAAACUUUCACUAAAUAUCUAAACUUUGAAGGUACAUAUACAAUUUACAACCAUUAUCAUUUUUUAUUUCUACUGCUUGGGGUCAUGUCAAAUUUAGACACUACUGGCCAUAAAAAGUAUAAAAAUAGAAGUUAUAUAAUGUGACAAAAAAUAAAUAAAAAGAAAAUUUAAGUGGAAAAAUGUUUAAAAAUCAAAAUCUAAGAAAAAAAAUUAGCAUGACAAAAUGCGGCGUUAAAGAGAGGGUGUUUAUCUUAACCUCUGACCACAUCACAACACAACAGAACAGUAUUCACCUGGUUUGUUCCAAAAUCCUCUUCACACCGACAAUGUAGCAAGCACCAUUCAUUCAUUCUCAUUCUAUUUAUACUCCAUUUCUCACCACUCACUCUCCUUUUCUUCCUCACGUUCUUCCCUUCCAAUUUCUUCUUCCUUUCUGCCUUCAUCCUUUGAUUCAAGACAAUGGGGAAGAAAUCUUAUUCUUCAUCCUCCACAUGGCGUGGAUGGCGCUACGUUCAACCUCGCUACUACAUCAAGAGGCCUAAACGACUCGCAUUGAUCAUCAUCGUUUGCAUCGCUCUCACAUGGCUUGUCUAUGAUCGCCAGUUACUCAACAAGGAGCACCAGGUUGGUUUUUCUUCGUUUAUUGGUCUAAUUGCACCCCACAUGAUACUCUGAUCUGGUUAUCAUAUUUCCCAUUUUUUUCUGUUUCAGGAGGAUAUUUUGAGAUUACAAGAAGAGGUUACAGGCUUGCAGAAUACAGUAAGAUCUGCAGAGUUUCAAUUUUUUGCUCUUUUAGUUGCAUUUUGGCUUAGUUUGGGUUGUUUGAAAUGGAUUUGCAGCUGGAAGAGAUAAAGGGCCAGAUGAAAGGCUCUGAAGCAGAAAGUUUACAAAAUGAUGAAAAAAUGAAUGAUUUGACCAAUGUUGUUUCGGUUGAGGAUGAUCCUAUUAGCAUACAUCGAAGAGAGAAAGUCAAAGAUGCUAUGCUUCAUGCAUGGACGGCUUAUGAAAAGUAUGCAUGGGGCAUGGAUGAACUUAAGGUUUUCCACUAUAUAUAAUAUUUGUUUUGUUGUUUUUCUUCAUCUACUGCUUGAUGGGAUGGUUUUUAUGUAUGUUGCUUGCAUUGAUUCUCCCAUGCUUUUAAGGUAUUUGAGUUAUCUUAUGUUUUACCAGAGGGAAGUUAGUGACUGAACAAGUUGAUCAACUAGCCCCGCAUUGUGCGUCAUUAGGCUAAAUUUGAUAAUAUGCAUGAUUAUAUUCAUACCAUUUGUAUAUUUUGUCUUCAGCCUGAAAGUAAAGACCGAAAAAUAAUUUUUGAAACCAUAACAAGCUUCUAUUUCCUAUAUGCUAGCUAUAGUUCAAAGUUUGGACUUUGGAAUGGUGUUUCCCCUUGUAACUAAGUAUUUGCUAUCUUUCAUUCAUAUUCUGUCUCUUCAAUUCCCUCCUUGAUAAAUUCUGAGUUACGCAACUAAUUACCUUGCUAUUCCUCUCACAGCCACAAUCGAUGAACGGUGUUGACAGUUUUGGUGGUCUAGGAGCAACUUUAGUAGAUUCACUUGACACGCUAUUUAUAAUGGGGCUUGAUUCCCAGUUCAGAAGAGCUAGCGAGUGAGUUGUCUUCUAUUUUAAUGUAGUUGAUAAUGGUGCUAUCCUGCUUAUAUAUGUGUGCUUCAAACUAUGUGUGUAUGUUAUUGCUUUCUUUUUACUUUAUUUUUCAACUCUGCUAUGGUUUGAAUUGAGGAAUCAAAAAGAAGAAAGGAUUUCCCUCAUUUACUGUGUUUUGGGUGAUAUUUCAUAAGCACUCUUCUUGUGUGCAUAUGGAUAGGUGAAUGUUAAUAUACUGUUUUUAUUAUUUCAUGAUUUAGUUUCUGUAUUGUAAGAUUGGUUAUAUUCGAAGCAGUUAAUAUGAUAUAUAUUGCAGGUGGAUUGCAGAAUCAUUGCAUUUUAACAAGAACAUUGAAGUUAGUGUGUUCGAGACAACCAUAAGGUUGAAUUAGAAGGUUCAAUCUUAUUUUUAUUUAAGUGCUUUCUCCACUCAGCUGAUAAUUGCUGCUACUUUGCGGAUUGCAGCAUACUUUGCUUUCUAGUCUAUUUUCUCUCAUCUGUGUAUUAUUUUGGUUCUAUUCAGAGUUUUGGGCGGACUUCUUAGUGCUUAUGAUCUCUCUGGGGACAAAGUCUUCCUUGAAAAGGCUAGGGAUAUUGCAGAUAAGCUGUUGCCUGCUUGGGAUACACCUUCAGGAAUCCCCUACAACAGAAUUAACUUGGAAAAUGGCAAUACAAAUAAUCCUAGGUGGACACGGGUAUGUUCGUUUCUCUGGAUACUGUUUGCAAUAGUUGCUAGGGCUAUUGAUAGAACCACCCUGAAAUCUGAUAUUAUUUCUCACAAAUCCCUAAUUCCCAAAUUGGGAACUAGAGCAGAAUACAAGAGAGAGUCCACACCCUCUAGAGAGUCCACACCCUCUUCCUAAUCCCAAUACCCAAAUGAUACAAAAGAUACCCCUAACUCUCUAAUGUCUGUUAUUUAUAGGCUACAUGCCUCAAUAACAUUCUAACUAACUCACUAAGUAUAACUAACUAACUAACUAACCCCUAACCUUGAGUUCCUAUUAGCUAUAUAUAGAGACUGAAGAUGAUUCGGAUUGCUGUAGAUAAUAGUAUUCCUUUCUAUGUUUUCUUGUAAAUGGUUAUCUGGUUUUAUUUGAUUAGUAAAAAUCAGCGCACCUUGCAUCUGUUUAUCACAGUAGUGCAUAACUUGAGUAGUGAAAAAGAAAAGUAGGAACAGCUUCCUAGCAUUGCCUGUCUUAUGUUCUUGAUUAAAUAUUCUCUGUUACUAGGGAAACAGUAUUCUUGCAGAUUCUGGUUCAGAGCAGCUUGAAUUUAUUGCUCUCUCUCAAAGAACAAAUGACCCCAAAUACCAGCAAAGGGUAAUAAAUAUCUUGCUGCUUUUUAUGUGUUCCUUUUUUUCUUUUUUCUUUUUUUCCCGUUUAGAGCAACCAAUAAUUUUCAACUUUGUAGGUCUCUCUUCCUUUGAGGUGAACUGGUUUUAAGUAUUCUUUUUCCCCAUCUCUAAGCACACUGAUUUUGAGUGUAGUGAUUUUGUGCGAGAGUAGAAGUUUAUUCUUUAUAUCAGUUUUGACAUAUGACCCUUCUGAUAUUUCAGGCUGAGAAGGUCAUCAAACAGUUUCGUAAAAUUUUUCCUGAAGAUGGGUUGCUUCCCAUAUAUAUUGAUCCAAAAACUGGAACUAAACCAAGUGGAGCUAUUACGUUUGGUGCUAUGGGUGAUAGGUGAUGACACUGAUAAUAUCUUAAUCUUAUAACAUCAUUGUUGCGUGAUCUUACAAUUGUUGGUCAUUUAGGUUAAGUUGGUUGACUAUAUCUUCAGAUAAAAUUCAGGUGCAAGUUGAAGCCAAAUUCUUUUGAACUCUUUUAUGAGAGCCUUAUUUAGAAAAUACAGAUGGGUUGUUGACCUGAUAUGAUGAAUGGAACAGUAUGAUUAGUUGAAUUUUAUAGAUAGUCUUUAGUGACCUAAACAAGUCCAUAUUCAUGUGUUAUGAUUACCACAGAUAUGGAAUUAUUGAUGUUUAUGGGUUGAAAGGGAGGAUGGUGAUUUAUAAUAAUUUUUAUGUUUGUUGUAGUGAUGGGUCACCUAUGAUUGGAGAUGUUUUCAUGCAUGUGCAUAAACUUCACAUAUUUUAAAGGAAGAACGUUGGUGCAUAAUGCCAGAAUAGCUGCUCAACUCAACUAAGUGUUGUCUUCUGUUAAUUGUUAGUAAUAGCGGCACAAUAUGUUUAAAGUAAAUUUCAACUGGCAUGUUUGACCUUCGCUGGGUUAUUGACUGCUUGGUAUUUUUCAUUCACCUCAUCCUUUGCAUAAAAAGGCUGCCAUUUUAUGUGCUGCAGCUUCUAUGAGUAUCUACUCAAGGCCUGGGUACAAGGGAACAAGACUGAAACAUUAAAAUUUUACAGUUGAUUAACUUGAAAUUUCAACUAUCCUUUGAAAUAGCAAAUAUAUAGUCUUUGUUUGGUAAGAAUUUACCGAUCCAGCUUUCCUGUGUAACAAGCCAUGCUCUUUGCUCUGCCUCUCCCUGAUGCAAUAUGUGCACUUUUUUUUGCCAUAACUUUUCUAAGAAGCCAUAGUGUGGAUUAUCCUAGAUUCUGUACCCAAAAUUGCAAACUUGAGACUAGUUUUAUAAUGAACAGAAAGUUAAUUUUGCUAUUUUCUGAUCUCUCCACAAUGUAUAUUUCACAAAACACCUGACCUGUGACUAACAUGCAAUCAAUUUCUAUUUGGUCUGAUGCUACAAUAAUCUGACACACCCUUUUUUUUAGUACCUUCUGGUUAAUAUGGAAGUUCAGCUUUGAAAUAUGUCUGCAUCUGGAUCUGUGUAUAUUUAAAUGUGUGAGAAAAUUGUGUGUUCAGGGAGAUGUGGGAGACAUCAAUGAAAGGUCUUGAGAGCUUGAUUAGGAAGUCAACACCGUCAUCUUUUGUGUACAUAACUGAGAAGCUUGGAAAUGGACUCUUUGACAAGGUGCUAUUUGAAAAGGAUUUUAUUCAAUCUAAGAUGAUUAUAUCAUGAAAAGAAUCUCAGAUCUUGUCUCUCUUUCAGAUGGAUGAAUUAGCAUGUUUUGUUCCCGGGAUGCUGGCUUUGGGAUCUUCCAGGGAAGGUGACAAAUAUAUGUCUCUAGCAGAGGAGGUAUUACUUUAGAACUAUUUGUGUUAUCUUGUAAUUUCUUACUAUAAAACUUUUUUCAAAUUGUUCAUGCUAUGGUAACCUCAUUGUCAUGGAGAAAAGAAAAGAAAGAAAUAUGCGUGAUAUUGAAUAAAGUAAGCCCUUUGAAAAGAGAAUGGCUUCUGAAAGGCAUAGUCACUGCAAUUCCUGGAUUUUGCCAAGUGACCUGGCAUUUUGUUCAAGAAUUAUAAUACCAAAGGCUCAAGUUUUCUAAAAGCUUUAGCUGCUAGGUUGAGGCAUA
RNAcentral lists this long non-coding RNA (71160 nucleotides) under Lotus japonicus. RNAcentral describes it as "long non-coding RNA (LJAP_LNC001862)". The record is from RNAcentral. Lineage: Eukaryota; Viridiplantae; Streptophyta; Magnoliopsida; Fabales; Fabaceae.